CAACAAUUGCAUUUAAAUGAUUUGUUAUUAUAUUAGAUGACAAAGGCAAUACCACUAUAUAUGUGUUGUAUAAUACAACCAUUAGCAACAAGGAGAUUUACAUGCUUUAAGUUGAGAAAAUCCAUUGGCAAUUCAAAUUACUUUAGUGUAAUGUCUCUUUGUCUCCAAUCAAACCUCAAUGGCUUCACCAAGAAAAAUCAAGGAGAAAAAUAUUUGUUGACCAAAGCUCUAACAAACAAGCUACAAACUUGGUGCUAAUCAAUAAAUAUUGUUGUAUACAUAUUGAUAACAAAUAUUGAAUUAUUGGAAGAAUAUUAGGUGUUGGUAGAAGUGGAGUGAAGGAAUGACAUAUUAUAAUGGAAUUUAGCAUUGUCAAGCAACAUCUUGGGGUAGAAAUAGCUAGAAUAUGGUGUAGAAAUACUAAGUUUCUAUAUUUGUCAGAAUCAAAAGUUUAGUGUUUUAUCAGACAAAAUUUUGAGUUAAUAAUACAUUAUUUAAGACAGCAUUGUUGUUAAAGGUUGCUAAUUAUUUAGAUACUCAUUACUUUCACAUAUUAAUCUUACCUAUUAAAAUGUAAUUUUGUUUUUGAAGUAAAUAUUUAGUUACGAACUUUGUUCUUUGAACAUUGAAUAAGCGAUUGAUUGCCAUUUCUUUGGCCAUCCCCACACCUGCUUUCUUGUAAAAAACAAGUGUCCAGAUAAAAUGGCUUUAAAUAUGAAAUUCCAAAUGCAUCAUUUGGACAUACAUGUAUAGCUGUGAAUGUGUUUGACAACCCUGCGCUCAUUUGGGAUAUGGUCAAGGAGAGGAAUGAGUUUUGAUUAUAAAUUUUUCUAAAAACAGGAUUCAAGGGCUCCUGAAGCAAGCUUCACAGAUCUUACAAUAUUUAUCAGCUUAGCAAAAUGCGUUUGAGCUUCAGGGCAGGUGCCACACCUAUCAGAAUCAAAGAUGAAGCUAUACUAACAGAACAAGUGCAAUGCUCAAUAGAAUUCCUUCAAAUAUGACCGCUCAAUCUAGUGAUCCACAAUACGAAGAAAAUUCAAGAAGGGAGUCAUGAUGAUUGCCAAAGCAUAUCUACCGACAGAAAUUUCCAACAGCACCAACAUAAAGAUACUUAACAAAACUCUGAAGAAAACGCUUUUUAAUGAAGGCCCAGUUCAUAAAAACAAAUGUACUGAGAUUGAAUUGGUUAGGAAUUAUUGACAAUGAGAGUGAGAUAGGUGAUGAAACAAGAGAAUGUGGAAUACAAAUGACACAUUUUGAGUGUUACUCUAUGGUCAGUGGCGAAGUUCUAGGAGUGACAAGAUGAUUACUUGUAGAUGGUGUACUUCGAAUACUAGAUACUGCCGCUGUGAAGGAUUGGAACACGGGAUGGAAGCUCCUGACCUGCAUGCUGCAAUCAAGGGUCCGGUCCUGCAGAGAACAAGGACCAAGAGUAGAACUUGGUGAAUAACCUCAGGAGAGAGUUGUGGGUGAUCUCUCAUUGCGGCUAACUAAUCCCAUGGUGCAGAAACUCCCAUGGGAGAAACUCCAACUUCAGGCGGCAUGCCCCCUGCUCGACCACUCGCCAUGGGCCUCAUUGCGGGCCUGUGGGCACGUCCCAUGGGAGGAAAUCCAACUUCAGGCGGCAUGCCCCCUGCUCGACCACUCGCCAUGGGCCUCAUUGCGGGCCUGUGGGCACCUCCCAUGCGAGGAACUCCAACUUGAGGCGGCAUGCUCCCUGCUCGACCACUUGCCAUGGGCCUCAUUGCGGGCCUGUGGACACCUCCCAUGGGAGAAACUCCAACUUGAGGCGGCAUGCUCCCUGCUCGACCACUCGCCAUGGGCCUCAUUGCGGGCCUGUGAGCACCUCCCACAGCCGGCUGCUGCGUUUGUCGCUGUGGCGUUGGUCCUAGGCCUACUCCUCUUCCUCUAUGUUUUCCAAUGAGUUGCACAUAUGGGGUGGCCAUGCGCUCCAAAUCCGCUGCUGUUAGCCAGAUAAGUCAACUUCAGUAAUUGUAGUAAUUUUCAGGCCUCUGUUGCGCGACUCAAGAUAUCAUGGGAAAGUCUGAUGCUGUCAAAAGGCCUGGAACAAUGAUCUCAGCCAGACUGCACCACAAAUUCUAGCUUAAGAACCUACGUGUCCAUUACGUUCAAGAACUGGUACAAAAAGGACUUACAAGUUGGUGCUUCGCGUUGAAUAUGCUCUCGCUCACCUCCUAUUUCCUUUAGCUGCUCCCGACUUUCAUCAAUAACGGCUUGAAAAAGAGGACCCAAAACAGGAGCUGCUAGAUGCUUGAGCUCCACGGAUUUGUCUUUGACCUGCUUCGAUGUGGUUCGAGAAACCUUGGCAAUCUCGACUGCCGCCGUUCGGGAUACACUAGCGAUCCCCUCUGCACCCUUCUUUACAAAAUCGAAUGCUUUGGAGGAUAGAGGCCUUUGAUCGCCUGGUCCUCGAUAGAUGCUUCCCGGCGACAAAGUUUUGAAUCCAGAUAUAUUAUGAAUUGCUACUUUGCUGUCCUCAUUAUCCUGGGCAUUAGAAGAAUAUUGAUCAACAAAAAGGUCACGUUGCACCAUGCCGUUGCGUUGUGAACCACGAGUACUCGUUUCAUGGGGUUCGUAAUAGACACCAUCAGUUUCAGAGCGAGGAGAACUGUACAUGGCAGCAACGUGGGUCCUAGGGUGAGGACGACGCGGUGUAAGACGUUUUGACGGCUGACCAAAAGCAUUCUGAGGAUUCUCGAAGUUUUGGGUGUCCCGUCCCAAACUAGUAUCCUGUAACCAAUUGCUAACACGAUCAAUACUAUGACUUUUCAAAGCGAGGCCAGGGUCAUCGUUACAAUUGCCAUAACCAGGAUCGGAAUAUGCAUCUAAAGAUUCUUGCCGGAGAUGAUCAUACUGCCGACGGACGCCCUUCUGAGCCUUUAACUUAGGGCCGGCAUCGACUUUGAUGUAUUCAUCCUCCUCACUGCUUGCAGCUCCAUCCACGAACAAGACAUCUCGAUGACCACCAGAGGCGGAACGAACUCGCCUAUGGCUAUAUUGUGGUCCAGUUGGACGUUCUAUUCUUACUUCCUUCUUCCUGUAACUGUAAGCUGAAUGCUCCGAUUCAAAAUUGGGACCACCCGUAUAGUAUUCAUCUUCAGGGGCGUCCACCGCAACUUCAUGGGUAGAAGUGAUUCGCAACCAGCUCCGCUCUUCGUUAACAACGUGCUUCACGUUUUCUUCGUCCAAGUUUUUGGAAAAACUACCGAACUCCCCCAUCCUCUGAAAACAUAGAAAGCAAUCCAUUAAAUUUCAAAACGUUUCGCAACACCCACAAGCAUCAUAAGAUUCAUUUAUUCAGUGAAAAGAACAAUAAAAGGCACCCAUUUGCAGGCAAUGCCAUAAGGCACUGCUACCAGCUGAAUCCAGAAACCGUAAGCUACACGAAGAAUUAGUCAAUCACACCAUCACACUACAAUGUCACUGCAGCUGCUGACCUUGAACCUUCAUCACGCGAUUAGUCUGCGAUUCAAGUAUUUCUUUCUCCUUCCACAUUCGCGAGUGGCAUUCUGAGCCCACACUGAUGCAUCAAUAGAGCGCUCAAAUCCGCCUUCAGCAGGUCAACGAAAGAGGAAGGAAACCUAAACAAGAGAAACGAUAAGAGGGACUCCGAAACAAUCUCCUCACAUCGCUGGAGCCCAAGCUAUCAUCCCGCCUGAAUAGAAGGGAUGGUCGAUUUUGACUAUUGCUGCUCCUAAUAUGCUACCGAUUACCGACAGCUACAAAAAAGUCCAAUAAACCACUAAACUUAGACCCAUCACAAUGCCCUCCGGUUUCCUGCACGAAAGAACUGAAUGAGCCCUAAUGCUCAGCUGCUGGGCAACAACCUGGAACCCACCCACCCGAAAAUCACACCAAUGAUACUGCUGCCCUGCGCACAUACAUGCUCGAGAGGCUCAUUGAGCACAAAUCGGUCACUUGCUAAACAACGGCCAUCCUUUAAACGCCAAAAAGGAAGGUUCACGUACCCAAUCUUGCACUUGUGAGUCUAUGCAUUCACACCCUCCAAUAUCUCCGCUACUCCUGAUCGAAUCAACACCAUACAACGAAACUCACCCAGUUUGUGAGCAAUUAUCAACCGACUCUUGCACUUAGCAAAGAGCGGGCUUGAGAGUUAGCAGCCAAAGUCAGCACGCAGAACUGGUGGACAAUGGCAGCAUCGUCCUAGCUAUUUCAGGAAUGAUGCCACUGCUCUCACAACCCACACAAAAAUUUCGAGAUUGUCCGAUGAUUCACGGCGGUUCUCGACAAACUCAACAGCCGGUUAGCGAAUGUGAAAAUGCUACGACUUUUCAGGGAGGGGUAGGAAACCCAGAGCACGGGUGAAAAGGGCGUCCAGAGUGCGACGUCGACCGAAGCUUUUGGAUACCAACCUCGGGAUGUCCGUUGGUUUUCAAAUUCUACAUUCUGCAUCCUUUGACUUUUACCAUGGAUCUCCUGUUAUCACCUGGUUCACAUUGAUGGUGUGACGGCCAAGAUUCGCACAGCUCGAAGCGGCAUGGUGAAGCAUCUGCGGGUCCGCCUGGUUGCCUGCGAUUCUACGAUUCUCCUCUUUAGCAGCACAAAUCGGUGACGAAGCAGAAGCUUUAAAAACACAAGCAUCAAACCCUAAUUGGGCUCGGCGACUUAAAAUCUGGCCGCUAUGGAAUCCAAGUAGCCUGGCUUAUCUAAAUUUACGUCAUGGAUCUCAAUGAUAUACAGUUAUAUGUGUUGUUUUUAGAUAAUCAAAAGCAAAUAAACAAAUCCCCCUGUCAGACCAUUGUAUAAUUUCAUUUAUAAAUGAAUGUUAUUCUGAACGUCGUUCAUGGGGAUUUUUUUAUUAAUAUGUUAUGUGUUAUUUUAAAAAAGUUGAUUUAGUUCAUGUGAAAAACACCUUUCACUAUUCACAAUCUGUCGUCAUUACCAGGCUUGAAUCCACCAUCUUGAAUUCUGUAGAUUGUAAGUUUUUCUCGGUAACAUUAUGAAAGGAUCGUUUCACAUCUUUUUGAUAAAGAAAUUGCAAUCUAAAUCCCUAAAUUUUUCCACUAAGUGGAUUCAGACUUGAGGUUUUUGGAUGUAACUGCACCUAUGAUGAUAUCUCAAAGUAUCACAUAAUAUUUUGAAAUAUCACUUGAUAAUUCAAAAUCACCCACAUGGUGAGGUAUAUGAUUUUUUUAAUCAAAAUAUCACAAAAGGGAUGCAUGAAAUAUCACAAACUAUAUGGCUUACGUCAACUCUCUACCCCUUUUGAUUCUAUGCUAACUUACCAAGCCUCUAUGCUUCCAAAAAUUUCAAACUCUAAAUUUCUUUCAUUCCAUACCACACCGCAACUUUGCCCUUCUUUUGUGCUCCCAUAACAACAAAUCCUAAAAAAUUUGGACUACAUACCACACGACAACCUCACGAUGUCUUAGUACUCCAAAAACAACAAAUCCUUCAUGACUUAGAAAUGUUGUUUACUUUCUCAAUUAUUGAAGAAUUCAAUGAAAUGUUUGAAGAAUAAUAGGAGGAGGUUUAAAACAUGUUUGAGAAGAAGUUAUUUGAGUUUGAUGAUGCGAAAGAACUUGUGGUAGUUGAUGGGACAAUCAAUUCCUACCAAAAGACUCAGCACACAAUGUGAGCUAGAUGAUAAUUCUUGGCUAUAAGUCUCCAACCACUGAAUAAUUGAUAAAUUAGGAGUUUUAUUAUUAUUUGGCAAAAACAUGGGUUACAAAUGAACAUUGCAUUGGGAUUCUAAAAGAUAAGUGAACUUUGCUUAAAGAAAUUUAUACCUAAUUCAUUUGUAAUAUGGAUAUAAAGUUUAUUGUCAACUAGAUUUUUUCAUGUUCAAUUUUUCAUAAUAUGUUAGCUAGUUAGGACAACAUGUGGACAAUUGAAUUUAUGAAGGCUAGCUGAAAACCAUCAAAGAAUUUUGGUGCUACGUCAAGGGCAGCGAUACGUUUUAAAAAAAAAAUAGAAUAAAGUAGUGGCAAAUAAUUAUGCAUUGGGUAUUUUAACAAAGCAUGAUUUAUAUUAGUUUAUUGCAACCAUAUUUAGGAUUUAUUGUCUUCAACUACUAAGAUUUUGAACAUAUAGUAUUCUUUCUAUAUUGAGCAAUUGAAAUUAAAAAUAUAUAUUUUAAAUCUCCUACAAUAUUAGUUGUCUUUGUAUUAUUGUGUAAUAAAUUUUAUAAUUCUAAGGCUUCUAGAACUGUAAAAAAUAGAGUACAUUGAAAAACAAGGGAAUGGACAACUAGACCUUAUCUAUUUCUAUAUGGCCAAUAUAUCUUGUAUAUUAUAUCUAUAUAUAAGAAUAUUCUAUAUUAAAAUUAAUGUAUAAAAUUAAUAUAAAAGGAUAUGGAUUAAAAGUGUUGAAAGAAGUAAUUUAUUGGUAUUUAGUGAUUUUAAUAUGAAAGAAGUGUUUGUAGUAGACCAAAAUUGUGGAUGUAAUAUAGUAGGAUUUAAAAUUCAUAAGGUGUUUGGAGGAUUAUAUCAACACACUCCUCUCCCCCCCUUCCUCUCCUCUCCUCUCAACUCAACACCUCUUUAUAUUAUCAAGUGUUGUAGCUUAUAUCUAAAUUUUUUAUUGAUUAGCAAACAUGGAAAUUAUAAAAUGCCUUUAAUUAUAAAAGAGUUUUUAGUUGUGAGAAAUUACUUUGUCUUUUACUUAUGUAAUUUAGUUUUGAUCGUAGUUACAGAAUUGAUUAACAUCCUUUAACAUAAGUGGAGUUGAUUCUUCUCAUCUUCUAGCUUCUAUCCAUCAUUUUUCAUCAGAUUUGUAAGACAAUGUCCUUUAAUACUUUUUCUUGACUUGUAGAUUUUGUAUGGCAUUGUGAACCAAGGGACAUCUCCCAUCUUGUGGAUUCUAUGUAAUGUUGUGAAAUAAAAAACAAUGUGACAAAGUGUAUAUGCAAAUACAAGAGCUUGCUUGAUGUACCUCCAUUAUAAUACAAUAUUCCUAUGUCUUUGGUUAGAGUGAGUUCUUCAUCCAACUAAGAUCAUUUGUCAUUGGUCAAUGCAUCAAAUUCUCAAGAAAGUCUAAAUAGCUCCAACUCCAUGUCAAAAGAGAAUUCAAAUAGUACUAACUUUGUAUCAAUAACUUAAUUGCAUUUUAUAGUGACAAAGUUUUAUGCAAUUCAAAAAGGAUGGUUUUUAGGAAUAUAUCUCAAUUGGAAGGAUUGCAUUCCUUAAGUGUUUGGCUAUAUCGGAGCAAAAUUUCAGCUUUUCAAAAAACUUGCCAAUGCAAAGUUAUUUCUAGAGCCAAGCAAGACAAUUCAACCCUAGCCACAAAGGUGUUUUUUUUUUUUUUUUUUUUUUUUUUUGCUGAGUUUUGGAUUGUAUGCAAGAAAGGUCCUAAGUGUUUUUAGUUUUAUAAGAUUGAUUCUUUUGUAAGAUUGGCUAUUUUUUAAAUAAAAUAUGACACUUUUGAAUAACUAGAAAAUUAAUACAAAAUAAAAUGUGUUAUUCCAAUGUACAUAACAAAAUCUAUUGAGUUUCACUAUCUUGAACAAUAGUUUACAAGGAACGUGUUCUUUAAAUUUUAAGGCCACCUUAAUAUAUUACAUCUAAAUCUACCAUAAAACCUUACACCUAAGGCUAUUAUAAAAUCUUGAAUAUAAGGCCAACCUAAAAUAGAAUAUCUGAGCACCAUAGUAGAGGCCACCUUAAAACCUUGCACAUGUUUCUCCCUUGUCUCUAUCCAUUUCACAAACAUUCUUUAAAUCUCUCUAUCUUAAUUCCAUGUACUAAAAUUUAGACCAAUGUAUCAUAUUUCAAGCUUGACAAUGGUGCAACCUUGUAGUAUAAAUCAUAAAAUUUAAAACAUAAAUCAAUAAAUACAAUUAUAAACUUGCAAACCAAUAUUUUGUUCACAUGUUUUUUUAAAAGAACUAAGAUCUAUUUAAUUUCUUAUAUAUUUUUUCUUUGAAUUAACUUGGACUAGAUAAGAUCAAAGAGCUUGUCUUUUCUAUUGCAUUUUCAAAUCACCUCUUUCUUAUCCUAUUCUACAACCAAUUUCUCUCAUUUAAAUGUCAUCUUAUCUUUUUUCAGCCUCUCCUUCAUUUUGAGUUCUUUUUGUAACCUAACCUUGAUUCUCUUACUUUCUUGUUUUAAUAAAGUCAAGUACUCUAUUAUUACGAUAAUUUUUUGUCGUAAUCACUCCACAAACGUAUUAGCUAUUGAAUAGAACUUGUUUGGAGAUUUACCUUUAGACUUUGAAACUUGUGAUAGGUGACCCUUCUUUUUUGGGAUGAUGAUAGUGAUGUUGCUAAGUGAUGUAUGUUGCAUAGAAGGCAAUGUUGGUGAAAUGGAUAAGAAUAUGGAAAAAAUAGAAGUGAACAAAAAAUUAUGCUCUUUCUUAUACACUUCCUUUAAUUCAUCAAAUUUUUCUUGUAAUAAAACCUAUUGAGUAUCUUAGAAGAGCAAUUCUUUGAGCAAUAGAUUCAAAUUUGGCAAUUCAUCUAGUGAAUUGGUCAUUGGCACUACCAUAGAGUUUUGUAAUGGCAUUAUAUCCAUUAUUGUAGUAUAAUCCUUGUAGAAUGGAGUUAUAUUUGGCCUUGUACUAUACAAAGCAUGCAUCAUGUCAAAGAGUAGACAAUUGUCCUCCAACUUCACAGCCAUCAUAAGUAUACCUUGUUUCUAAUCCUUAUCAUUGAUGCUAAUGCUUGUAUCCUUUGACCAUUUAUACACGGCUACAAAUUUGGCUUUGAAAGUAUGCAAUCAACCUAACAUAUUUGUAGUAGAAAGGUUGAAUUUGCCCUUUGAUGACUUGUUCACAUAGGCAACUAGCUGUACCAAAGCUUAUUCCUACUCAUUUGCUUCUUGCAUACCUCUGUCUUAUUAGAAUUGUAUAAUUUUUUGAAAUUUGAUGGAUUUUCCAACCAAUUGACAAUAGCAAUAUAUUCAUUUAUACAAAAAUGACCUCUUUUAUAAGUGUUUAUAGGAUUUGGGACCUUCUAGGGAGGUAUAAUGUUUAAUUCAAAAGAGUGAAAAGGUUUGUUCUUAAAUGUUAAGUCAGCAUGUUAGGCCGGCUUCAUAUUGCUUAAUAUGUUAUCAAGAUACCAAGUAAUGCUUCAAAAACUUGAAGGGGGUAUUCAAGUCUGAAUGGUGAUAUUUGAGGAGAUAAUAUUUUUGAAUGAUCAAUGAUAUUUGGGUUUCCAAAAACCAAAAACACAUGAUAUCUGGUUGCCCAAAAACAUUAAGUCUGGAUCCCCUUAAUGUAAAAUAUUUCCCAACUGGAUGGGAAAUGUUUUACUCUGGAUUCAAAUAAAGUAAUUAAUACUUUGUAAAUUUAUGAAAAGUUCUUGCAAUAAUGCUGGUAGUUUAUAAAAAUUUGUUUUAAUUAGCCUAAAUUAUGUUGAAUUUCUAAUUUCAAUCUCACAAACUCAAAAUCAAUCAUAAUACCCAUUAUCGUAUUUUCCAAAACAAGCAAAAAGAAAUUAUUAAAAUUAUGGAUAAAUGUAAACAAUUCAUUACAAGUUGGAUGGCGUUGCAAAUCCGUGACUAUAUCAAUGCUCGUCACCAUCUGUGCUCAGAACUCAAUGCGUGCCAGAUGAAUGCUGGACAAUGCCACCUGAAUCGGGCCCGAGAAGUUCUAGAUCUCUCUGUUCAGAAGUCUCUGGAAAACUCUAGAAUUCUCAAGACCUGGGUGGCGGGGGUCUUGGGAUUUCUAGGGGGUUCUAGACUUGCCUAUGAGUCGCUUUAUUAAUUCUCCAGCAGUUUGUGGAAAAUGCAGCAAGUACUCGCGGUUUUUGCAGGACAUCGGUCCAACUUGAAGUUGUCACAAAUUUCUUCUCUGCAGUUGAUUGUAGACUGAUUAUCUAGGCUUCUACUCGUGAUUAACCAUCGGAAAGGUUUGAGCAGCUGUUUAGAAUUUUUUGGCAAACAAGGAGACAGAGUGUGAUACUGAGCAUCUCCAGUGCUUGGUUUGAAGAGUGUUCCAAGAGUUUCGUGGACCGGAUCGAGGAAAAAUGGAUUUCCCUCUGUUUCAGAUUUUGAGCUUCCCUGACGAGCUGGAGAAAUCGUUGAACCCGCAGUCGCAAAAAAUAGUGCGCGACAAAAUUAUUUCAGUGGUUUAUCUUUAUAACUGUGAGACUUAUUUUAAGCUCGGAAGGAAGACAGAUUGUGUUCCACAAUAAUCCGAGACUCCAUGUACGAGACUGGAGUGCUAAUUGAUAGAAAAUGCAUCUUUCUGAGCAUAUAUGAAGUUUCAACACAUGGUUAGAAGCAAUCCUGGACAUCAUCUCUUGGUAUGACUUGUUGUUUGCGACUUAGUGUUCCCUAGAUCAGAGGAACUGAUACGAUAUGCGGGUUGUGCAGGUACAAAUGGAGAAUGAUAAUGUCCUCGUCAUUGGUGGCACACGAAAACGUGAGGAGACAGAUCCUCAAGUGAAAUGUAUCCGAAUGGAGCGAAACUCCGGCACAUUUAUGCGCAAAUUCACGCUUCCUCAGAAUUCUAAUUUGGACAAGAUCACUGCUUCCUGCGUUGAUGGCGUGCUCACACUUAUAGUUGCUAAGAUUCCUCCACCAGAACCUGCAAAGCCAAGGACUAUUGAGGUGACCACGGGAAGAAAUUAAAACCAGAAUAUGAAGUCUCGUUGGUGACGUCACAUAGGGCGUUUAUUUGCCUCAUUAUCGUCUCAUGGCGCAGUUUAGAAACGAUAUCACAGACCUGUCUGAAGACCAAGCUCUCUUCGAAUGCCAAAUCAUGUCGGUCUUGUCAUGUCACAAGCAUAAUCCACCCAACAUGGCAACAAAGUAAUUUACCUUGUCGUUGCCUACCUGUCUGAAGGUGAACAAAAUGUCGACAAAUAUAGUAAGAGACUAUAAUUUGGGUUCACAGGGAGAAGGUAAAUUAGUUCAUGUGUGGAGGGGCACUUGCUUCUGCCAUUGCGAGUUGAUGCAUCUCUGUUAGAGAGUCUGAAAGAUCCUCACAGUGGAGCUCGCCAGGGUCCCGCAGCCCGCAGAGCAGGGGGGCCACGAGUACCAGCCACCCUCCCCUGCGCACCACUCCCAUGGGGAAUCAAUUUUGAAUCCUUGUUUAUUAAAUAUCCGUGUUGAAGAAAAAAUUGACGAGUUAAUUUUUUGAGUUGUAGAAGUUCUUCCUGGAAACAAAAGUGUCAUGUACUUUCAGUGCUGUUAUAUACGAAAAAUAUUCUUUGAAGCAAGAGUGAUGGUUGAAAAUCAUAACAAAUGGUUGUCUCAAAACGUUAUAACAUGGUCAAAAAGUAUUUUUGCAAAGCUUUCUUAUGCAACGUAACAUAAGAAAGUUUAUCUAUGAGCUCUUAAGACAAGAUUGGGAAGCCAAAUAAAUAAAUAAAAUAAAGCUCUGAGCUAUACAUGACAUACUUGAGCAGAUUUUACUAAGUAGUGGUGGUGAUAAUAAUGGCUGUUAAAGGAAUUUGGGGGGUAUACUAAAGAGAAUUGAAGGAUUUGGGAUUGAGACGCAAGCCCUUGAACAAACUUCAGCACACUCUGUAUAGAGUGUGGAUCAGUGUGGGCCAAAUGCGGAAGGCAACCCAACUGAGGAGAUGUAAAAUGUUUCCUAAGUGGAAACAUACUUUGGUAAGAGUUGUGAAUCGUUCAAACCUGCCCGCCCUCCAACCUGCUCCUCCCCCGGCUGGUUUCCCUACGUUCCCUCCCUUCGUUCCCAUAUUACAGAUCGGCGGUUGCGAUUGAAUCUGCGCGGCAACCGAGAUCCGACGGCCCACGAUGGCGGAGCCAGUCGAUUGAGUUCGGAGGUUUCGAGGACACAGUUCUACGAGGGAGGCGGCGUGACAAUAUGCACAUUAAUUGCGCUUGUGAGGGUGACUAAGGAGAUCGAUAGCACUACCAGUUCCUAAGCAACGCAGGUUGACUUGCAAUAUUGCUUGCGAAGGCAGCACAAUCCUCUAGUCAAAACACACAGAAUAUCAGCUUAUUUAUGAACGUUGACUUUCAACACUAGUUUGGGUAUGUUUGCAAGCGUUGAGUAACAUAGACACAUUAUGACAGGUUGCUACGCGUGAACAGACUCUCAAACAACAGCAAGUUUGAAUGAAGUGAGAUCAAACAAAACACUGAGAAAAUUCGUUAGAAACUAGAUGAUAUUUUCAUUCGGCUCAUAAUUAACCUUGAAAAAAAACUCGGUGAACGAUUCCGAGGCUUCACCGAUGACUGCAAACACAAUUAAAUAAUAGGACUGACAGCAUCAAAACAAAGUUGACAUCACUCUAACUGGAUGGCUGCUUUGUAGGAUUUUCCCUGUAGAUGGUUCACACCGAAGCAGCAAGAUACAGUAUCAAGGGCAUGUAAUAAAGCGAAGGGAAAACGUCACAUUCCAAAGUUGCGCUGAGGAAGCAAUAACCAAUGUCGGCUAUACCCAUACACAGGCGAACGGUCACUGUGGUGCCAGCCAGUUUUCCGCCACCAAGCUCCCAUGCAGCACUUCAAAAGUUCACGCUCAGUGUCUAAGAUCAAGGAAGCGAUGCGAUAGCCCAAUUGAGCAAAAAUGUUAUCUGCUCCAACUCUAAUUGGUAGGGAAAAUGACUUGAUAUCAUCAGUGGCUCCUGUCAGCAGACUCCUCUCAUCCAGCUUGUGUUCUUGAUGAUGGUUCAUGCAAGGUGCUCCAGAUUCCGACUAUGGAGACAUUCUCGUCCAUCAUAACGAUGAGUGUGCAACGUCAUUGAAGAUUUUGCAGCGUGGAUUCAAGGUGUAGCCAAUAGGAUGCUCAACGAAGCAUGAUUGGCAAUGGGAUUUGCUGUAGGGACGUUAUGGAUAUCAUUACGGUAGAAUUGAUUGCUGGAGAGCUCUAUUUGUUUGGGAACGUAGUUCAGGUGGAAAUGCUGUUGAGAAAAAGAGUGUAUUCCUGCUUGUUUUCGUGAACAUGAACGUUCAGGAUUCUGCAGUGUUGUGUAUUGUGCAUCUUUAAUUUGAGCUACAAAUCAGUAAUUGAAAUAACGUUUAUUCCUAAUUGUGCGGCUCAUCAUGGUGGCAAGGUAUGCAAGCUGUGUAAUUGGAUACUUGGAGCCGUUUUGGCAGCAGAGAUUUUCAUAAAUGCAUUUAGUUCUGGAUCUAUAGUACAAGGCUUUUUCCUGACAUAGUUAAAUAUAUAACCAAUUAAAUCUCAUAAGAUUUUGCAUAAUAUUAUCAUGUGAUAUAAGAAAAAAAAAAUUAAACAUAUUACUGGGAUUGGGAAGAAAAAUUAUAAUAAAAUUAAGAAUCGAUAUCUUUAUGAAGAUUGAAAAACAAAAACAAGAUACAUCAAAAAAUAUGACAACAGUCAGGCACCAUAUUCUAAGGGAUUUGAUGUGAUGACUAAAAAUACCAAAAAUUAUUUUGAUAUAAUCAAGAAAGUUAAAUAAUGAUGUCAUAAAUUAGAAGACGAACAAAAACCCAUGCCAAACAUUAAAAUAGAUAGAAGAGAUAAAGUAGAAAAUUGUGGCAAUGACAAUUUCAUGGUGAGCAAACAAACUUUAUACAAAUGCAUUCAAAGGAAAUCAUUCUUUGAUCCAGACUUUGUAAAAUGUUGUGCAUCUGAAAUUUAAAGUUAGAGCAUGAAGAGUACAAGGUUGUUGUCUAGGGCUCAAUGUUAUUUACUGGAUUAUACUAACUUUAAGAAUUCAAUCAGAAGGGUGUACAUCAUGAAGCUCGAUGACGGGCUUUCAGCACAUGAAACAGAAUUCCCAAACACCAUCGCCGAAUAAAUACAAUCCACACAAACUAAGGCUACAGACUGCCCCAAUAAGCUUGUCUAGGUAUACGGUGCAGGAGAGAGAGGGCUCACCCCAUGUACAAAUCUAUAAUAUACCAAUGUAAGACACCUUAGUCAAAAACAACCCCUACUUGUUGCCAACAUGAUACAAUUUGAUUCUUAUAGAUCAUAGAACAUGAGGUUAAAGGCUCUGUCGGUGUGCUCCCAAUGCAGAAACGGCUGUAACAAUUACCACCGACUAACAGAUUUUAUCUAAGAUCAACGUUACCAAAAAAGAAAUUUGUGCGAGGAACGAGCAUGCAAAAGAACAUCAACAUCGGUGUCUGUCGGUUCAAUCAUAACCCGUGAAUCAGUCGACCGGGAUUGAAGGAACCGCCAGCUGAAGCCACUGCAGCAGGAUUCACCACUUUGAAAAAGAAAAGAGGUUUCGAGCUUUCACCCAACGAAGGCUCUCUCCGUUGCCACCAUAGAUUAGAUUUCAUUGUUUUGUGUGCCUUAUACAGGAAGCAUUCAACUCUGCAAUCAUAUGGCCAAAAAUUAACAGCAGACUAAAAUCGGACACGAAAAUAUACUCCAACUGUCUUAUUGUGCUGAAAGAAAGUUGAGAGAACAGGUCUGGCGGUGGAACUUUGUCUCUGCCAACAAGACAAUCAAUCACUCUUGAAUGAAAUAUUGCUAACAUACCAGUAUAAGGUCAAGGCCAUACCUGUGCCGUAUUCCCCACCGAAGGCAGCAUUUCCAUUUGCUGGAUUCUGCGUUGCACAUUACGUUCUUGACAACAUUCCAACACCAACCUAAUAAACGUGCCCAAUCCAAGUACCACGAGAACUCCUAUACAGGGAUCAUCACCACACUAGGGUUAAGCUACAACGUCCAACAAUGGGCAUAAAUGGUAGAGUGUGGACAAAUGGUCACGAGGUUAUAUGCGCGCGGAGAAUGGAAGCAAGGUCGAGCCGAACCCCCGAGAUAGACAAAGGUGAAGAACAAGGAGGAAAAAAAUGUCUUACCAAAGAUGAAACCUAUCGGAAUUGCAGCGUAUCCAAUUGUAGAUUUGUUGAUGGAAUCCACGAAGAGGUAAGUCAUGAAUGCAAGAACGCCCAACCAUAAAACUAGAACCAACGGAUGCCUCCUCACAACUGUAAGAAGCACGGGUCGGUUUAACAUCAGUCCACUCUCAAGUCCCGCUUGGCUGCUUCCUCCCGCAUGCGAUGACAUCGGAGUUUGCCCGCCAAUGGCAGACUGUCCUCCAAGUCGCCACACCCAGAAAUGCGGCUGUUGCAAAUAAAAGCCACAUUUCAGCAAUUUAGCAUUCAAUCAAUUCACAAAAAUGAAAUACAAAGGCAAUCAUGAUCAUAAGAAAGAACCAAUACUUUCAUGCAAUCACGGUCAAUGGAAGUUCCACGUACCGCAGGUGUUGUCCCUGGCGCUGGAAUGUUUUCCGCAACACACCUAGAAAUGUCAAAAUAAAAUCGCAGAAGGCAUUAGUGACAUCAGAACUCUUAACAAAAUGAUUUUUCUUUUUCUUGUCAGACUCGCUUAACUCUGUAGGACGGCCGUGACUAAGAACAUUUCCAUAUCAGAUAAUAGCGGUAGAAAGUAUUGGAACUCACUGGCAAACCUCGCACUUAUUAGUCCCUUUAUUCUUAAACCAUGUCUCGAUGCAUGAUUUGUGCGACUUCGCCAUCUCUCCUCGACACGCGCAUCCCAGCUCAAUGAGCGGCUCCUCCGAUCGCUGCUGACAAAUUCUAGUCACGCACAGAAUUCAACAUAAAUAUCAGUCACACUAUCCCGAGAUAAGGACCAGGUUAAUAACCUAAAUCUCUUUCUCCAGAACAUAGUCGCAGAGGUCUCCACAAGUCAUCAGUUACCUGCAGUGCUCUGCGGCACUAUCUGUGCUCCACGAACUGAUGGUGCGCCCAGGCCCGGAUGCAAAGACGAAUGUUCGCACCGUCUCCAGGUCCACACUGCUGGCUAAUUGCGCAUCCGGAAUGACCACCGCCGAGUGACCGAGGUCCGCUGGGGUAUUACGACGGGACAAAGCAACCACAGCAUCGCUGCUCGCCCCCAUGACUCUCGGUGGAAGCCACGCUUGUCUGCUUUGUGCUAUCGCAUCACUGCUUGUCCUGUAAACUCCCGAAGGCUCCGAUUGUCGGCUUUGCGCAACGGCAUCGCUGCUCGUCCUGAAUAUACCCCGACGUUCAGGUUGUGGCCUUGCCACAGGCUUUGGGAGAAACAGCGGCCUUGCAGUCACAGCGUCCUGGUCAUGAUUCUCUUCUGCUAAGUUCGAUUGCUCUCGGUGAUCUGUGGAGCUUCCGAUGCCAAUAUGCGAGAGCUUCUCCAAGGGAUCAUAAUGCUCAGGCAACCUCUCUUCGGGCACACGAUCAAUCACAAAGCCAGUUCCGCCUUCAUGCUGCGACAACCCAGUGAAUCUAGAAGUCUGGCCGAUCUCGGAGCGGCGACGGGCUCGCACUAAGCCCUCAUCUGUGCGCGUACGCGCAAGCGGCAGAGCGGGGCCACCGCGCGGCUGCUGGUGCGUCACUAACAAGGAAGAAUCUACCGACCGCGCUGGUCGAAGCGACACAUGCAAUUGCUCUUCGAAAUCAUCUUCACCCACCUGCGCCUUAACCCCCUUGAUGAGGGAAUUGAACCGCUGCAGCAUGGUGCCUACAUGCUUUCCUAACAGAAACUACGCGAUAACGACGACGACGACAGUGCCCAUCUCAGUGCCCACAGAUUGAAACCCCUCACAAAGUUUUGUUUUUUCCCCUAUCUAAAUUAUGACACUCUGUCUGCAAACAGGGAAACUCCAGUCUAUGCAGGGAGAACGAAGACCAUAUUUCGAUUCCCUGCUGUAAGCAACCCGAAAUCAAUUACGUACAACACAAAAACAAGGAUCCUGCCUGUAUGAUCACAACCACUCCAAUCCCUCAACUAAUCGCUGUCGAUUUCAAUGUUAACAGUAAAGCGACACCGGGCCACUUUUGGGGUCACAAUGAGCAGCGUGAGAUAUGGGGUCAGGUUAUAGACUAAAAAACACAGCGAAGGCAGGUGCUGCGGUGUUAUCUCACAAGGUUGGCAGGGAUUGUAGUGUGGCCCACGACGAGUUGGGUUUCUCGUGGGAGGCUGAGCUAACACCGCUAGACUCUCACUUUGCGAAGCAAUGCAUUUCCUUUGUCGAUAUGCGGUUGAUUGCCAGCGAUGCGGAUGCUGCUACGUGGAGGCCAUCAUUGCUGCCAACUUUAAAACCAUCACACACAGCUGUCUUUCACGCCGGAGUUCAAUGGCAUAAAUACUAAAUAAAACUUUUUGUAGGUCCAUGAUCUUAACAGCCACAAAACUGGUUUAAAAUGAUGACGCACCCCCCAAAUGAUGAAGUUGACUCCCUCCACAAUUACUCCGUUUACCUUUGAACCCUACUUUAGCAAUCCCUCGAUCGACGAUGCCGUGUUGCGAAAAUCGGCUUCUAGUGGCUUUUGUGUUUACCAAACUGCUUCCUGUCCAGGUGCCUUAAAAAAUGCAUCUCCUCUUUAACCAACACUGUUGUAUUUGACUAUUGUAUAAAACUCAAUAGUAGGCGGUGACAACAGUUGCGGAUGGGAGGAAUUUGCACCAGAGAAAACUACUGACCCCUCCGUGUUAAAGAUGGUGAUUCUUUUUAUGCAAUAACGUGUACGCUUGGAUUGAAGUGUGCACAGGUUUGGGGGACUUGCAUCCAUACCAUGGUCCAAGUUUUUCACACGAACUUUAAAGAAAAUCUACCAAGAGGUGUGAAGUGGUGUGAAGGUUGAUGGGUAGUUUUGGCACUGGGUUCCAUCUCAAUGGAACUUUUUUAAUGAAUGGGAAAAAGUGACUUCCUCCUUGUUUUGAUAGACAUUAAAAAUUUGGUACAUUCAUCUUUUGCAAUAACAUCUCAUUUUUAUUUUAUUUUAUUUUCUUACACAACCUUGUUCUUUUAUUAUUCUCACAAAUUUUGAUUUUGCAACAUUGAGUUAAUUUUAUCAAAAAACAUGAAUAAUAUUUAGGAUAAUUUCUUUUAGGGUAAAUGAUAUAUCAAACAAAAUGAAAGCAAUGAAGAAUUCAAUACAUACUCACCACCAUAAAGCAUAUUAUUCUUAUAAUGUAUUUUUGUAGUGCUGCUGGUGCACUAACUGAUUACAAAAAGCACUGAGAAAGUUUUGAAGAACUGCAAAAUAUUGUUUAAGAGUUGAAAAUUCACAUUCCAACUCAUUUUGCGUUUCAAGUCCACCAAUCAAAUGGCUAAAAACCUUAGAAUUGUCAAUGUACAAAAAUAAAUAUAUAAAUAAUACUUGCUAAUUUUUAAUUUCUUUUAGAUUCCUUGCACUGAAAGGCAUUUUAGCACCACAACACAACUUUUGGUCCACAUUCCACCAAAAUGAAAAACACAAAAUACAGCUUCUUUUAUCUUUGAUUUUUGAAAAAUACUCAUGUAGAAAUUACAGCAAAAUAUCAUCUAUUUGAGAUGAUUCUCGAAUUUUAUCACACCAAUAACAAUAGAUAUAAAAUCAAAUUAAAAGUUGUUUUCUUGAAACUAAAUAUUAAAAUAUUCAUGUCAAUUUUGCAAGUUAAAAUAAAAUAUAAUAAAAAUGUAAAUAAAAUCAUAAUUUUAUGUAAUACUUCUUACAUCUUAUUAAAUAUAAAUUUAUUUAAAACAAUUAUUUUUUUACUAUCUAUAUUUAUUUUAAAUUAUUUAUUUAAAAAUAUACUUGAAAUAGUUUAUGUAUAUACAUUUGCAUAAAUAUUUAUUUUUUUAUCGAAAAGUAAUAAAAAUUAAGAAAUAAAAAAACACAUAAAAUAGACAUUCAAUAGUCAAGAUUGCAUUCUUUUCUAAGUUUAAUUAAGUAAAAAAAUGAAUUGAAUUCAUAAGAGAUACAUCUAAAGAAAAACUUUAAAUAAUUUUUUAAAAAAACUACCGUUAAUAAGAUUGGUGUUUUAUUUUUAUUUUUUGUUAUUUUUAGAACUAAUUCAUAUUGAAAAAAUUAAAAUUACAAAAGAAAAAGGUAGUUACUCAUUUAAAAAAAAGUUUAUAUAGCUUAAAUAUUAGACUUUAUAUUAAGAGAAUUUAUUAAGAUACUUUUAGUUUAUUAGUUUAAUUUUUUUGAUAAACUUAGUUUUAUUUUUAAGUAAUAAUAAUUAUUUUAUAAUAAUAAAAACUUAAAAUAAAAAAUCAUUCAAUUCGAAAGUAAACUGAGACAAAUCAAAUUAUUAAAUAUAAUUAUAAAACCAUGAUAAAGUGAUAAUAAAAGAAUUAUUUGAAGUUUUGAUAAAAAAAAAAAUAUAUUUUUUAUCAAGUUAAAAUGACUAAUAAUAAAUAUAUUAUAAUAAAUAAAUAUAAAAUAUAUAAAAAUUUAUUUUAUUUAAAUAAAAUAUCAUAUAUACAUAUAUACUUAAAAAUUUUAUUGGGUAAUACAAGUUAUCAAAUUAUAGAAUUUUUUUUUGAAUUUGAUAGAAUAAUUAUCCAAUAAAAUUAAUAUAUUAAUCUUAGAGAGUUAGGAUUAUAUAUAUAUAUAUAUAUAUUUUAGUAGUAGUAAAGACUUGAAUUUUAUUGGAUAAUUAUUCUAUAUAUAUAUAUAUUCAUAUUUGAUAGAAUAAUUAUCCAAUAAAAUGAAUUUUCUAUUGUAAUCUAUUCUAAUAAUUAAAUUGCUUGCCAAGUUUUCAUUUCUAGGCAAUACAACGUCUUUAAGGUACUCAGUCCUGUCAAUAAUGAACAUGUAGAAACUUAAGCUUUGCCAAUAUAAUUGAGUCAAUUCUACGACAAGAAAAAAAUUAUUUUAUUUUUAGCUUAAAUAAAUAUUUAACCUUGUAGAAGUACCAUCUCACAAGAAAAUUAGUAGCAUCUUUGCCAAGAGAUAUUCAUUUAUGAACACCAAUCUUACUAAGUCUAGUACCAAAAAACAACACAAUAUUGCCAAUCUAUAACUUGAUGAAAUAUUAAUACUUUGGAACUCUAAUGCAAGACAUGUUUCAUAAGUAUUUUAAUUGAUUUGAUGAAGAAAAAUAUCAAAUUUCUUUCUAUAUCACUAGAUCAAGCGCAACAAGUCACAUUAUUUCUAAAAUAGAAGUAACAAGUACCUCAACUUUUAUUGUGACUACAACUAAAAGACUUCAAUGACUAGCCUUAUUUGUUUUGCAAAUGGCUAAAAAGCUUGAAUAAAAAGUAAUGGUAGAUGAUUGUCAUAUUUAAGGAAAUACGUUGGUAUAUAACAUUGAUUAUUUCUUUAUUUUACAAAAUAUGUUUUUUUAUAGCAUUGUUGAAAUUAUCUUCACUAAUGUAGACAUAUGUAUGUUGCCUCAAAAUAUAACUUCAAAAAUGGAACACAUGGAUGUUGGCAUCAUUGCUACUUUUAAUUACUUGUAUUAUUAUUUCUAAUUGCAACAUAGAAUUGAGACAAGCUUGACGAGUGCAACUUACACAAAGUUGAUCAACUCACUAUAUUAAAAUGAAACAAAGCCACAUGAAAUAAUAGCUUUGCAAUCACUAUUGUCAAUUAUUUUUUGCACAUUAGAUUGUAUGACAAUAAAAAAAAUAAAUAGAUGAUAUGGUAGAAACUGCUUGCUUAGAUUAACCAAUAUUGCAAAUGAACAAGCUUAAAGAAGGCAAUUUGAUAGCAAACUAUACACUUUGCAUAAAAAAUCCUAUAUAAAUUAAUGCCUUAUUUAAUAUUAUUAAAGUUAUAUUUUUUUAUUACUUCAAUUUUAAUUUUUUAAAUAGAUAGAUAACUAGAUAGGUAUAUAGCUAGAUAAAUAGAUAUAUGAAAUUUGCAAUAAAUAUAUGUAUUAUUCUUAAGAAACUAAUUAUAAAAAUAAAAACCAUAAACAAUUAAUAUUUAUAUAUCUUGUAUAUAUUAAAUUUAUUUCUUUGCUUUUAACUUAACUUGUGUUGGAUUUAUACAAAUAUGAUGUAGCUCAAAUUUUCAUGUUUUAAUUGCUAAGUUUUAACCAUAUAACUUUAAAACUAUCAUACAUGUAUAUUUGAGGCAUAUUAUUAAAUUUAUAGUAAAUAAAUUUUUUUAUCCUUUUAUAUAAAAUUUAUAUUUUAUAAGUAAUAUUAUUAAAACCAUCAAUAGAUUUUUGAGAAUAUAUUAAUAUUAUGCCACAUCUAAAUACAUUUAACAUCAAUAAUACUAUAUAAAUACAUAUGCAUGGUCUUCAUAUUUUUAAUUCGUCAUUUUGGAAUUUUAUUUUUAUAAUAUUUAUGAAAUAUAAAUUAACCUUUAAUUGCUAUACAUAGUUUAUUAAGAUAAAAAUAUGAUUGUAUUUAUUUUAUGACACAAUUUUGUUAUAUAAUAUAAUUUCUUUCAUGGCUCUAUUAUCAAUAACAAAAAAAAAAGAAAUAAAAUACAUGUAAUAAAAAAUAUACUAUUAUAAUUUUUAUUUUUUAUUUUUUAUUCUUAACUUGUCAAGAAAGCAAGAUUUUCAAAAUGAUGAAGAUUUCACAAUGAAGCAAACAAACAAUGAAUCAAAUCAGUUGUUUGAUAAUAAAAUUUAAAUCCCAUAUAUCUGAAUCAAUAUAUAUUGCAAAUACUUUCCAAUUCAAUUUACUAGCAUGUGGCACUUCUUUUUUCAAAUCUUCAAAUUUAUUCUUGGCAAUUACAAAAUCUAUUAGAAAUAUGAGAGAGUACUAGAAGCACACAAAUGAGCUUUGGAGAACCAAAUGGCAUAAGAAUGGAUACAAAUUGGCUAGAGAAAAUAAAGCUAGUUGUGUGAGCAGAAGAACACAAAGAUCAUGGUAAGGCACUUGGCUCUCCAAGAAGAAAAUAAUGAUCUUAUCUUAUUUCCUAUAACAUAAGAUGUUGUCUUGCUUGAGAAUGCACAAAUCAUUUAGCUAUGGAAUAUAAACUAGAGAUUGCAAUAACCAAAGAUCGUAAGAAUCCAAUUUUUUUUUUUAAUAAUUUAUAUUUAAAUCUUAACUAUCUUUAUCAAUUUUUAAUCAUUUCUAAAGUAAUCUUAAAAAAAUAUUUAGAAAAAUCAUAAAAAAAAUUGAAAACUAUAUAUAUAUAAUAAAUCCUAAAUAUAUCUUCAUAAAAUUUUAACCAAAUUUUAAUUAAAUUUUUAUUAAAUUCUAAAUUUUUUUUAACAAAUCCCUAUAAUAGUAUUAAAAUCUCAAUAACUAUUAAUAAAACCAUCAAUUUUGAGUAAAUAAUUUUAUAAAUUUCAAUAUUUAAGCAAAAAAUAAGCAUUCAAACUUUGAAAAAUAAAACUUAUUAAUUUUAAAAAAAGAACUCCUAAUUUGCUUAAGUAUUAGUUGUUAUCUUUUUCUAAUAUUGAUAUUGAUUUUUAAGUCAAAAUAAUUUAUAACUGAAUUAUAUACUUACUUUCUAAACUUAUAAAAUUAAUAAAAAUUAACUUCAUUAUAUACUAAAAAUAUUUUUUUUGAUUUAAAUAGUAGAUUUUAUAGAAUGACAAAAAUACUUAUUAAUUUUAGAAUUAGAAAACUAAAAUCUUAAUCCAAUCAAAUUCUAAUAUCCUUUAAUUUGACCAUUGGGUUAAUCUUAAUUUUAUAGAAAUUUUAAUUAAUUUUUUUUUUAAAAAAAUGUAUUUUCAAAGUAAAAAAAAAUUAUUUUUUCAUUUGAUAAAAUAUUUUAAAUUAUUUUAAAUAUGCAAUUUUUUUAUAAUUUUCAUAAUCCAAUUCUAUAAGAGUAAUCUUUGACUUUAUGAAGCUCUUAUAAACUCAAAAUUAAUCCAAAUCACUUGAAAUUAAUGCUUAAACAAAUCAUCAAAUGUCUUCACUGUAAUCUUAUUUUUCAUAAUGUAAAGUAGUAGUAUUAUGGACAUAAAUACUUAUUCUAGUAAUUACCUAUAUAAUUAGAUAAAAAUAAAUAAAAAUAAAUUGAAUUAGAUUAAUUUUAUAAUAUCUUCUAGAAAGGCUUCCUAAAAGCUUCAUAGAUAUAGUUCUGACUUUACAUGUUGCCGUAUUGUAUGCUUUUCUAUCUAAGAAUAUAUUAGGUACCUUAAAUUAUUGAUUAUUAUCUACUUCUAUAAAAAGUAAUAUUAUUUAUCUUCUUUUUAAGAUAUUCAUUACUUUAUAUAGAUCUAAAAUAGAUACAUUGUUGUAUUACAUGUUGUCUUAUUUAGGAAUGCACUAGACACCUAGCUUUAGAAGGCGAGGUUGUGUUUCAUAAGUAUCUAAGAAACCCUAAUAGAUUUCAUCCAUAUGAGAAGAAUAUAAUCCAAAUUUCAAUUCAAAAGUGCUAAAACACACUCUUUUUAGUAUCCAUAAUCAUAUAUAAAUCCCAAUUACCUUGUUACUUUCAUAUUUAAGGAAUUUAGAUUUUUCUUAUAAGCUCCAAUCUUAAUCAAUGAGCUUUAAUAAGCUGUAACUUCUAAUCUAACUAUCCACUUCAUAUAAAAUUUUGUAUCCAAUUAUCAAUAUAAGUCUUCUAUACGCUAAAGAAUUUUUAGCCCAAUUCAACUUAUAGAGUAUGAGAAAACCUCCAAAAACUAUAUUGAUGUCACUUGGAUGUUAACUUAAAAAAUAAAGCAAAAAUCCUGGUAGUGAUUUCUCCUUCUUUAACUAUUAACUUUAACUCAAAAUUGGUAUGCAACUUGAUCUUUAAGUCCUUCAAGAUCAAGCCCAAAUUUACCUUGAUCCAAUUGAUAGAUCUCUAGAUAUCACAAAAAUCCUACUCAAUCCCAAACUGCCAACUUUUAAAAUUGUAAAGCUACAAAUGAAAGCUCUUGAUUUAAAUCUGCUGGUUGUUGGUUCUCCAUCUCCUUAGCAUCUUAAAUGUACAUAAGCUAUAAAGAAAGAUAGAAGAUAGAAUAUAAUCUUUCUUUAAUCUUGUUUCUUUUAUAGGUGAGAUUUGCUAUUCUUCAUCUUGAUUUUGAUGGAUUUCAUUGAUGAAAAGCUUCAACUUUCUUUAUUACAUUUGUAAGAUAUUUUGAUGGCUUCCAUGUGUGUUCACUAAUAUCAUAUUUGUACCAAUGAAGAAGAUAUUCUAACCUAUUUCGAUGCCGCCUUGAGUCUAAGACUUCUUCUACCUCGAACUUUUGAUUAUUAUCUAUGAAGUUUAUGUUCUUCUGUGUUCUUAAAGUAGAUUAGAAUGCUGUCUAAAUAGCAAAUGAUAAAAUCAUCUAAAAACUCAUAAAAACCAUCAUUUAUAAAAUGUUGAAAAUCAAUCGGUGCAUUCGUGAGUCUAAAAGGCAUGAUAUUAUAUUCAAAAUAUCCAUAAUUAGCUCAAAAAGCAAUCUUCUAUUCAUCUCCUUCUUUGAUAUGAAUUAAGUUGUAUGCUCCUCGUAGAUCUAUUUUGGUAUAGAUCUUUGCUUGAUUGAGUUGAUCAAGAAGUCCUGAAAUCAAAGACAAAUAAUAUCUAUUCUUGAUCGUGAUCUUAUUGAGUCCUUGAUAAUCCACAUACAUCCACAUAGAUCCAUCUUUCUUCUUCACAAAUAAGAUAGGAACUUUGGCUGGGAAUUUAGAAUGGCGUAUGAAGUUCUCUGCCAAAUUUUCAUCAAUAUACUCCUUUAAUGCAUCUAAUUCAUUCUACAAUAAGCUAUAGAUUGAUCCAAAUGGUAGUUAAGUUCCUUCUUACAAAUCAAUUGAACAAUCAUAAGGUCAAUAAUCUAGAAGAAUAUCUACAUUCUUCUUUUAAAAAAUAUCUUGGAAUUCUUCAUAUUGGCUAGGAAUACCACUUGACUUUUUUUCACCAUUAGAAAUGGGCAUAGCAUAUAUAACAAAAGAUGAUCCUUCUUUUGCAGCAUGCAUGAAAGCUCUCGCUCCUAUGAAGUUAGAUUUGGAAGUACUAAACUUUUAUACUUCUACUCUGCUAAUUCGAUCUUAGAUUAUACUAUCAAAAAAAUGAAGGUUAUAUUUUUUUAGCCAUAAUAAUCCUAAAACAAUCGGAUUGGAAAGAGAUCUUAUUACAUUAAAUACUACUAUGUUUUUAUGAUCUUUAAAUAUUACAUCUAAAAGAACAACCUCAUGAAUAACAUUUCCAAAAGACAACAGACGACCUUCUAUGACUUCUACAUAUUUGGAUUUUGUUUUUUUGAUUAAAGAUAUUUUUUGAUUUUUGACAAAAUCUUCAUCUAUAAAAUAGGUUGAGGCUCUUGAAUCUAAUUAGGCAAGCACUCUGUGAUUUUUAGGUCUUAAACGUACUUCCAUUGUAAAAAAAAGUGAGGGAUCUGAUGAGAGAAUAGGACCUUUACUAGGUGUUGCUUAUGAUUCCAGCCGCAUGGUCCUUGUUGUAGCUAAAGAAACUCGUUUUUUGACACACUAUCUUCUUUGGUAAUUGUGCUUUUCAUUUUAUUAUUGCGUUGGUUUUUUGGACAAUGUUGAGCAAUGAGCUUAGUUUCUCUACAGUAUAAACACAAAUCCUAUUGGCAACAUCAAGUUUUUUCGUCCUUUGUGAGAAUUUUAAAGUAUAUCAUAUCAAUUUGCAUUCGUUUUGGCCUUGAUGAAUACGUUUCAAAAUACUUAGAAGUUGCUGCCAUUACUUGAUUUAUUCUUAUUGAGCCAAAUCUUUGUUCUAGAUGCCUUUCAAAUAAUUGAUUCUUGCAUGCAAUGGCUUAAGCAAUUAAUUAUUUGAAAGAUUUUAUUUUUGGCAUUGUUAAUAACAAAUCUUUGAUGCUAUUCUUUAAUCCAUAUCGAAAUUGAUUGAUGAGUGCUUUGUCAUUUCAGUCCAUAUUACAAGUAAGAUUUUGGAAUUUAGUAGCAUAUGUAGUGGCUGAUCAUUAUCCUUAUUGUAAAGAUAAAAGUUUGGUCUUUGCUACUUAUUUUAGAUCACUUUCUCCAAAUAUGGCUAUAAACACUUCUAGGAAUGAAUUCAAAUAAUGAAGGAGUCACAAAUCUUUUUCUAUUAAAGGUACAAACCAAGAAAGAGUACUUCUUGAUAGAAGUAUGUUUAUGAAUCCAACUUGAGUAAAUCCAUCAAGAUAUUGAAAAAGAUGCAAUCUUAGAUAGAGCUUGAUUUGUUGUAAAAAUCUUCAAAAUUUUGAUCUUGUUCCAUCAAAAUUUUCAAGCAUACUAAUCCUUGUCCCCAUCAUACUUGUAGAAACAAAACUCCCUAGAUUUGGUUGUGAGGUCGAUCUAAUUGCUUCCUUUAAUUGUACAACUUCUUGCCACAAACUUUGAACUUCUUCUAUGGGUAUAGGCAUAGAACCUCCAUGAUUCACGUUAGAAAUAUAUGAGAUUUGUACUCUAAGAAUAUUGAUAAGCUCAUGUAGAUCUGCAAUAGUUGUAAAUCUAUUCUCACUUUUGCUAGGUGAAGUAUCUAUAAUCUUUCUUUGCAUAGGCAACUCAAAUAAAUCCAAAAAGUUAAAUUAGAGGAAGAUAAUCUACAACCUCUAAUAAAAAUAUCCAAAAAGAGAGAUAAUCUACUUUCUUUAAGGAAAGAUCACUGUUAGAAAAUAAGAUUUUUAUUACUUAAAAGGUGAUUAGACUGUAAUCUUUACAAUACAAUAAUAGAAGUGAGAUAAUCCAUUCACUUCUAAAAUAAGACAAAAAUAAUAUGUUAGUACUCUUAUCAAACUGUCAAGGACAUGAAUCUCAAAGAAAGAGAAUCCUUGAUACACUCUUAUUUCACUAAAGAGAACUAAAAAAUCACUCCAAAGAUAAUGUAAUAUUAAUUAGAAUGGCUAUUGUCAAAAAAAAAAAGUCUAGAAAGUUUUGAAACAAGACUAUGGACUAGAAUGGCAUUGACAAGAGUGAAAAAGGCUUCUUUCUUACCUCCAUAUAUACUCUUAAGUAGGAGUUAUGUGACAAUGUCAUAUAAGACCUCCAAGUCAUGUUGACUCUAUUAGCCACAAGACAAGUUAUGUAUGUAUGCGUCACAUGGUUAACUUAUUCCACAAGUUAUUAUGUAGAGUUAACUUGUUCCACAAGCUAUCAACAUGUAGUUAACUUGUUGGCUAAGUUUUUGAUCUACAAACACAUCUAAAGUCAAAAUUUCAUCUAUAAAGCUUCUAGAAAGCUUCAUUAAAAGAUUUUAUGAAAUUAAUCUAUAAUUACCUACUUCUACCUAAUCAUAUAAGUAAUUAUUGAAAUAAAUGUAUAUGUCUGUGACAAAGAGUCUUCUAAAUUCAAGAUUGAAGAGAACUUCUUGUUUUUUAAAGAACGUUUGUUCAUUCCUGAAAGGCCAACUUGCUUGCGAAUUCUUCAAACAUGCAAUGACUUCCUUGUAAUUGGACAUUUUAGAUUCAACAAGAUCUUAGAACUUCUGUCUAGAGACUUUUGGUGGCCUAAAAUGUAAAAAGACAUUAAAAAAUUUGUACUAUCAUGUGAUACUUGUUCAAGGUCAAAGAAUCCUUGACAUUGGCCAUAUAAACUUCUUCAACCCCUUCCUAUUCUAAGACAACCAUAGUCAUCUAUCUCCAUGGAUUUUAUUACAGAUCUUCUACUAUCAAGCUCAUUUGAUACUAUCUUCAUAGUUAUUAAUCAAUUGACUAAGAUGGCACAUUUUAUACCUUAUAGGAAGUCAAUUAUUAGUAAAGAGAUGACAAGGCUCUUUAUUGACAAUAUCUAUUAUUACCACGGAUUGCCAAACGAUAUUGUGUUAGAUCAUAGAUCAUAGAUCAUAAUUUGUAUUAAGAUUUUGGAAGGUACUCUUCAAGUUUCUUUAAGUUGACAUUAACCUUUCUUUUAUCUUCUACCUUCAAACUGAUGGCCAAACAGAGUGGAUCAAUCAAAUUCUUGAGCAGUAUUUGAAGUGUACCAUCAACUAAUAACAAAACAAUUAGACUUCCUACUUGUUGUUGGUGGAGUUUGCAUAUAAUAUACAAUCUAUGCAUCUAUGCAACAAAUGUCAUUCUACUCAAACUAUGGUGAUCAUCCAAAGUUGGAUAUAAUAGAAUCUUUAAAGUUGAUAAAUCCAUCAAUAGAUAAGUUUGUUAGAAAGAUGGCUGAACUUCAAGCAACCAUGAAGACUCACCUAGAAAAGGCUCAAUGACGUUAUAAGCUAGUGGUGGAUGAAUUAAGAAAAGAAUAUCCUCCAUUCCAAGUUGGUGACAAAGUGUGGCUUCUUCAGUGCAAUAUAAAAACUAACAGAUCAUGUCAUAAGUUGGACUACCAAAGGUUGGAAUCAUUUGUGAUUUAGAAACAAAUCAAUAAUAUAACUUAUCACUUGGAGUUACCUUUAUCUAUAAAAAUUCAUCCAAUCUUUCAUGUUUUACUUUUGAAAAGGUAUAAAGAAUCAAACUUAUCAAGUUGAAGAUAAUUACCACCUCCUAUGGUUGAAAUCAAAGAUCAUAUUGAAUUUGAGGUAGAAGAGGUAUUAGAUUCAAGGAUAAGACAUGGAAGGCUUGAAUAUCUGGUCCAUUGGCAUGGAUAUGAUAUCAACGAUUGUAUGUAAAAACCAACUAGCAACCUUGUAAAUGUACAAAUGAAGGUUCAAAAUUUCCAUCAAUGACAUCCAUCCAGAUCAAAAGUGACAAAAUGAGAAAUAGUAGCUUGGUAAGAUGGCUUCACUAUGAAGAUUCUUAGUUUUUGGCCUCAUAAAGAAGGGAAGGAGGUAGCCUUUGAAGAGACAAUUUUUUCAAAUAUUUAGAAUAGUAUAAGUCAAUAAUUUGAGUUCAUAAUCAUAAUCUAUUUAUAUUCUUUUGGUCUUGUGUAUUUUAUAUGAUAUGGAUAGUGAAGAGAUAGACACCUUAUUGGUCAUACCAUCUCAACCAAGUAGCUUGCAAAGUUGAUCCUAAGAUGAAGAGCCUCAUGAACCACAAUGACGUUGUCAUGUUGUAAUACGACUAUAUAGUGAAAUUAUAAUCAAAGUUGAAUUUCUAAUUAAUAUCUAAUUAUCUUAAUUAAAUUAUAAUUUGAAGCAUCUAAACAUGGCUUUUAUAUUAGCCUCUUAGGUUAUUUUCUUAUCUUAAUAGUUAGUAGGUUGAAGGUUAGUUAAUAAUUUUACCCUCUAGGUUGUAGAGACUCUUCUACUACCUUAGAAAGACCAUAAACUAAUAAAAUCAGGUUAGAAGAGGUAAAUAAUUAGUAUAAUUGGUACUAGGGUUAAGUUGAGAGUAGGAUUGGAAUAAAAAAACCUUAUGAUACAUUAGAUUGAUACCUAUGGGUCGACCAUUUGUGAGACAGGAUCGAAAUCAAAUCUUUGGCCACUAAAACGACGGCCUAGGGCAAAAUAGGGAUUUAUUUGAAGAUCAAAGGUUAGUAUUUGAGAGCUAGCUUAAAGUUAUUUUCAAAGACAUAAGAAUUGUUUUGAGUGGAUUUUGGAAGACUUAGCAAUUAUUUUUCAAAGUUAGGAAUUAUAUCAGUGAUUUGGAUUUUAUAUAAUAUAAUUAGGACUAGAAAUUUUGGUAGUUCGUGCAAUUGAUGUAACAUCUACAGUUGUAAACUUGGUACUCUUUGGAUUAUUGAGUGUACUAAGUGUAUACAAAUUUUUUUGAUAAUCUAACUGCAUAGUUUAGAGAUAUCUAGUUUUUAGUAUAAGAGAGUUUUAGAAGGUGGCAGUUUGAGGUUUGAUAGAGUUUCUAUGAUAUCUAAAGAUCUAUUAGUUGAAUUUAAGUGAAAAUUAGCAUGGUGUUGAAGGACUUGAAGAUCAAGCUACACACUAAUUUUAAGAUAAAGUUAAUAAUUGGAAAUGAAGAAAUAAUUGUUGGGAUUUUUGCUUCACUUUUCAAGUUGGUAUCACGGCCAUAAUCAUGUAAGCUAAUAAUUACAUAUAGAAGUAGGUAAAAGUAAGUUAAUUCUAUAAUAUUUAAUAUGGAAGCUUCCUAGAAACUUCCUAGAUGCUGUUUUGACUUCAUAGGUGUCUUUAAUUGACUUUUUGGAUUAGAAACGUGGUCAACAAGUUGGCCAUGUGCCACACAUGUUGUUAGCUUGAAGAUCAAGCUAACUAUGUGGCCUACACGUAGAAAAACUUGCCUUGUAAGUCAAGGCAUGUGCCCUACAAAGUCAAUACAUAUUGGAGGUCCUAUAGAACGUCGCAACGUAGCGUCUAGUUAGAGAGUAUAUAUAGAGACAAGAGUGAAGGCUUCUUCACUCUUGUCAACUCCUUUCUUGCUUCUAGUCUAGUUUCAAGGGUCUCUAGUUUUCUUGUCUUUUGGCAAUAGCCAUUCCAGUUCCCCUUUCAAUAUAUAUACUUAUUUAUAUAUAUUUUGUUACCUGUCUUUGAGUGAAGGCUCACUUGUCUGAAUUAUUUUUUUCAUCGAGUUCUUGUCCUUGACAGAUUCACAAGAGUACACCUACAAUAUCAGAGCUUUGUCUAAUCUUGAUUAAGAGUGGAUUACUCCUUUUUUCUUGAUAAGAUAUAAGCAUAUUAGAAGUUGCGGAUUACCCUCUUCUAAACUGAUAUUGUCCUUAGUAUUUUCUUUGUCCGCAAGUCCUCUUUUCUAGUUGUCUUGAGCGAUAUUAGACAUCUUCUCUCUUCUAAGUAUUAUCAUGGCAGAACUUCUUGAAAUGAAGAGUGCAAUGGCACAAAUGCAAGAGCAAUUGAGGGAGUUAAUGCUUGCAAUGCAUCAACUCAAUUUACCACCACAAAGAGCAACAAGAUUAGCAAGAAGUGAAGAUAUAGAAAUGGUUGGAGCUGCUUCAACAUCUGCACCGAACCAUGUCUUUUCUCCUAUGGUGGAACACCCUUCAAAUGUUAGAGAACCAAGAAUUGCCCUACCCGAGAAGUUUGAUGGCACCAGAUCCAAGUUUCGAGGAUUUAUCAAUCAAGUAUAACUUGUGAUUGAACUUCAACCCCAAAGCUAUCCAACUCUAAGAUCACAAGUUAGAUUCAUUGGUACGCUUCUUUCAGGUUCGGCACUAUCGUGGUUUUCAUCUUUUUUUGAACAACAAGAUCCAAUAUUGGAUAAUCUAGAGGCUUUUUUGGCGGAGUUUUGAUCCAUGUAUGGAGAACAUGAUGCAAUUCGUGUUGCAACCAAUAAGAUCCAUAUUUUACGACAAGGCAAUCGAUCAGUAACGUUAUAUGCUUCACAAUUUCGACAACUUGCAACUGAUAUUAAGUGGGAUGAUGCUCCACUUAUUAGCCAAUUUCUCUAUGGAUUAUAAUAUGAGGUAAAAAAAUUAAUGCUCAACUUACCUGAUCCUCAAACAUUGAGUCAAGCAAUUGACUUUGCUAUGAAGUGCGACAAUCGCCUUUUUGAAUUUCGAUCUGAGAACCGUACAAGUGGACCUCAAUGUUACUAUAAUUCAAUGGCAACACCAACACCUCUUCAAUACAUACAUUCAAAAGUAGAGAAUAUGCAAAUUGAUGCAGUACGUUUCAAACCUCUUACUGAGCAAGAAAAGACUCGUCAUUCGUCAAGAAGGAUUAUAUUUAUAUUAUGGAUAACCAAAGCACACUGCUCAACAUUGUCCAAAGAAACAAGGCAAUCACAAAAUGAGGAGUAUGGCUGUGAAAGAAGAUAAUAUGUCGGAAAACGAAUUUGUCCAGGUACAAUAGGGACCGUGCGGCUGGAUCCUUGCACAAUAUCUAGUAAAGGUCCUAUUCUCUCCUCAGAGCCCCCUCCUUGUUUUACAUUAAAUGUUAUUUUAGGACCUAAAUAUUACAAAGUCUUUGCCUUAUUAGAUUCAGGUGCCUCAACGUGUUUUUUAGAUGAAGAAUGUACUAAAAGACAUAGCAUAUCUUUAGUUAAGAAAACUAAACAUGUUCAUGUAGAAGUCAUAGAUGGUCGUCCAUUAUCUUCUGGAGAUAUUACUCACGAAACCCUUCCUAUAGAAGUAAUAAUCAAUGGUCAUUAUAGUUUUGUAGUAUUUAAUAUCAUUAGAUCUCCCUCUAAUCCUAUCAUUUUAGGUUUAUCGUGGUUAGAAAAAUACAACCCUCAAAUAGACUGGAUUUCUCGAACUCUUACUUUCUCUAAAAGUAUAACUAACAGUGUAGUUAAGCAAGUAGAGAGUCAUAAGUCCAAUUCAAUUAAACCCGUAUUUAUAGGUGCAAAAGCUUUCUUGCAUGCAACUAUGAAAGAAUCACCAUAUAUUAUUUAUGCUACAUCCGUUUCUACUGGUGAAAAGACUUUAAGUGGCAUUCCAAGCCAAUAUCAAGAAUUUCAAGAUGUAUUUGAGAAAAAAAAUGCGGAUACACUUCCGGAACCUCAUCCCUAUGAUUGCUCAAUUGACCUUCAAGAAGGAGCACAACCGCCAUUCGGACCAAUCUAUAGUUUAUCACAAAAUGAGUUGCCUCAACUCAAGGAGUAUAUUGAAGAAAAUCUAGCCAAGAAUUUCAUACGCCAUUCUAAAUCUUCCGCAGGAGCUCCAAUUCUAUUUGUAAAGAAAAAAGAUGGAUCAUUGCGGAUGUGUGUUGAUUAUCGAGGACUCAACAAGAUUACCAUUAAAAACAGGUAUCCACUACCUUUAAUAUCCGAACUUCUUGAUCAGCUGAAUCAAGUUAAGAUCUAUACAAAAAUAGAUCUUCGGGGAGCAUACAAUCUAGUACGCAUCAAAGAAGGAGAUGAAUGGAAGACUGCAUUUCGAACUAGGUAUGGACAUUUUGAAUACAACGUCAUGUCUUUUGGACUUACAAAUGCACCAACAGCUUUUCAACAUCUAAUGAAUGAUGUUUUUCGAGAGUUUUUGGACGAUUUUGUGAUAUGUUAUCUAGACGACAUCUUGAUCUAUUCUAAGAAUCUAAAAUGACAUGAACUUCAUGUUCGUCGUGUGUUACAAAAAUUAAGAGAUGUAGGACUCUAUGCCAAGAUAGAAAAGUGUGUAUUCCACACUACUCAAGUUGAUUUCUUAGGUUACAUCAUUUCAAAUGAUGGACUUAUGAUGGAUCCUGAGAAAGUUCAAACUAUUAUAGAUUGGAAGAUCCCAAUAACGGUAAGAGAUGUCCAAUAUUUUUUAGGAUUUGCCAACUACUAUCGGAUCUUCAUCGAAGACUUCUCUCGAGUUGCAGCUCCACUUACACGUUUGACUUGUAAAGACAAACUCCAAUGGAAUUAAGAAGCGGAAGUUGCUUUUGAAUCUUUGAAGACAUCGUUUGUUUCUGCAACAAUCUUGUAUCGUGUUGAUUUUUCCAAAGCAUUCUUUAUAAAAACAGAUGCAUCGGACUUUGCUCUGGGUGUGGUUUUAUCACUAAUGGGAACAGAUGACAAACUUCAUCCAGUAGCCUUUCAUUCAAGAAAAUUCUCAGCAGCAAAAAUCAAUUAUGAGAUCCAUGACAAAGAACUUCUUGUAAUUGUGGAUUCUUUUCAAGAAUGGCGUCAUUAUCUAAAAGGCCCUUCUAGUCCAGUCACCGUGUAUACGGAUCACAAGAACUUUGAAUAUUUUAUGUCAACACGCGUAUUAAAUCGUCGCCAAGCUCGUUGGAGCAUGUCUUUAUCAAGAUUCGAGUUCAUCAUCACUUAUCGGCCAGAAAAACUACAAGGUUUAUCCGAUGCUUAUCUAGACGUUCUUAUCUUGCACCAAAAGAAAGAGAUGCAGCUUUUGAGCAACAAAAAAUGGUUCUCUUGAAGCCGGAACAAUUUCAUCUUCGAGCAAUAAAAUCAACAUUGAUUGUUGAUUUAACUUUCCUUAAGCAAGUCCAGUUAAGUAUGUCUUCAGACCUUCUUGUUCAUGAUAUCAAGAACAAUUCUUCUAAAUCUCAUGAUUCAUCUGAAUUUGAAUUCAAGAACAACCUACUCUAUUUUGAAGGACGCCUAUAUGUUCCAGAAGGAGAAGCACGUUUAUGUGUUCUUCAAGCUCGUCACGACUUUCUAGUAGCAGGACAUUUCGAAUAUAAUAAGACUUUGGAGCUGAUAUCUAGGGAUUUUUGGUGGCCUCAAAUGUAGAAGGCAGUUAAAGAUUUUGUACAAUCAUGUGAUGUUUGCUCCAGAUCGAAAAUUCCUUGUAAUCGACCUUUUGGACUUCUUCAGCCAUUACCCAUUCCAGAACAACCAUGGUCUUCUGCUUCUAUGGACUUCAUCAUGAAUCUUUCAAUCUCAGGUUCUUAUGACUCUAUAUUCGUGAUAGUAGAUGGUUUUACCAAGAUGGCACAUUUUGUACCAUGUACAAAAUCUAUCACAGGUGAAGAAAUAGCUAAGCUCUUUCUUGACAAUAUCUAUCAUUAUCAUGGAUUAUCCAAGGAUAUUAUAUCAGAUAGGGAAACUCAAUUUGUAUCAAGAUUUUGGCGGACUCUUUUCAAGAUUCUUAAAGUGGAUAUAAAACUAUCUUCGGCAUUCCAUCCUCAAACUGAUGGACAAACGGAGCGUGUUAAUCAAGUUUUGGAGUAAUAUUUAAGAUGUACUAUUAAUUACCAACAAGAUGAUUGGACAACUCUUUUGCCAUUGGCAGAGUUUGCUUACAAUAACACAGUACAUUCUUCUACAAAACAAACACCUUUCUUUAUUAAUUAUGGUUAUCAUCCACGACUUGAUACUUUUAACUUUUCAAAAGUUGAUAAUCUUGCUGCGAAAGAUUUGGCAAUUCAUUUAUCAAAGCUACAUGCAACGAUGAAGGCGAAGUUAAAAGAGGCUCAAGAACAACAAAAGGCCAAUGCGGAUGUCUAUCGAAAGAAACAACCAUCAUUUGUCUUAGGUGAUAAGGUAUGGCUACUUCGUCACAAUAUCAAGACCACUCGUCCUUGUGACAAGUUGGACUAUCGAAAGGUGGGACCAUUUUCUAUUUCUGCACAAAUCAAUCCAGUUGCAUAUCGUUUAGAUCUACCAGAGUCAAUGAAAAUCCAUCCUGUAUUCCACGUGUCUCUUCUUGAACCAUACAAGACAAUGGACAUACCAAGAAGACGAGAAGCUCCACCUCCUCCUAUAGAAGUGGACAAUAAUGAAGAGUUUGAAGUAGAAGAAGUCUUAGAUUCAAGGCGACGUCGAAAUAAAUUAGAAUAUCUUGUCCAUUGGCAUGGAUAUGAUAUUAGUGAACAUACAUGGGAGCCAAUAAAGAAUCUUACAAAUGCAGUAAAGGCCGUGGAGGCUUUUCAUAAACGACAUCCAUCAAAAUCAAGAUGAAAACCUUCUUUAGAAAAGAAACAACAUCUAGGCAAGAUGACAUUCUACUUUCAAUUCUUGUUCGUAGCUUUGUUGUAGUAGUGGCGCUCAGGAGAUGGAGAACCAACAACCAGCAGAUUCAACUCAAGAGCCUUCAUUUGCUGACCUGUCGGACGAGACAUUACGAUUGUCACAACCUUCAAGAUGACACAAUCGAGAUGAAGAUCUUCAAGAAUUACAUGUUCUUCCUCGAAUAGAUGGUGAGAUACAACGCAUUUGGUAUCACGAUUUGGGAAGGGACUCCCGAUGUUUGGUGAUUUUGCUAGAGGUAGGAACAACUCCUGAUGGUGUUCCAAAUAUUCUAUUCGAAGGAAGUUACGAAGGUUUCAACAAUGAUCAAAUAACUGGGUGGUCUUCCCGCCCUAGUAUGGGACACUACCGAUGGUUGAGAGGCCCUAUCAAUCAUCUUCGAAGAAAACAGAGAUCAGAGUAUGUGGCGAAUACAAUUCGUCGCAUCAUAGAUUUUCUCAACAUAUGAUGACCGCUCCUCGUGGAACUCGGCCCUAGAAGGGGGGGUAAUGUCACGGCCAUAAUCAUGUAAGCUAAUAAUUACAUAUAGAAGUAGGUAAAAAUAAGUUAAUUCUAUAAUAUUUAAUAUGGAAGCUUUCUAGAAACUUCCUAGACGCUGCUUUGACUUCAUAGGUAUCUUUAAUUGACUUUUUGGAUUAGAAACGUGGUCAACAAGUUGGCCAUGUAGCACACAUGUUGUUAGCUUGAAGAUUAAGCUAACUAUGUGGCCCACACAUAGAAAAACUUGCCUUGUAAGUCAAGGCAUGUGCCUUACAAAGUCAACACAUAUUGGAGGUCAUAUAGAACGUGGCCACGUAGCCCCUAGUUAGAGAGUAUAUAUAGAGACAAGAGUGAAGGCUUCUUCACUCUUGUCAACUCUUUUCUUGCUUCUAGUCUAGUUUCAAGGGUCUCUAGUUUUCUUGUCUUUUGGCAAUAGCCAUUCCAGUUCCUCUUUCAAUAUAUAUACUUAUUUAUAUAUAUUUUGUUACCUCUCUUUGAGUAAAGGCUCACUUGUCUGAAUUAUUUUUUUCAUCGAGUUCUUGUCCUUGACAGUUGGUGGCCAAGUAACAUUAGUGCAAUUUUUGGAGGUUUUAUCACAAUUGUAAGUUGGAUUGGGCUUAAAAAUCUUGAGCAUAUAGAAGAGUUACAUUAACAAUUGCAAGCAAAAUUCCACAAUUAGUGGACGGUCGGAUUAGAUGUUACAGCUUAUUAAAGCUCACUGUUUAGAAUUGGGCUUGUAAGAAAAAUCUAAAUUGCUUAAAUAUAAAAACAACAUGGUAAUUAGAAUUUAUAUAUGGUUAAGACUACUAAAAAGAGUGUUUUAAGCACUUUUGAAUUGAAAUUCAAAUUAUAUUCUUUUUGUAUGGAUGAAACCUAUUAGGAUUUCUUGGCUACUUGUGAAACACAAUCUCACCUUCCACAGCUAAGUGCCCAAUGUAUUCUUGAGCAAAACAACACGUAAUAUGACAACGUCAAAGGAUACCUAGUAAUAGGUUGCUGGUAAUUAUGUUUGAGGUAGAACUUGCCUAUAAAGGAUGCCUAGAAGGAGUGUUUGUAAGACAAUUCUGUAACAAAGAUAUCAAAGUUUAUACUUGGACAAAAGUAGAAGACUUGGAGCACUAUUGAUGGCUACAAGGACCUAUUAAUCAUUUGUCUUGUGAAAAACAUCAAGAAUAUAUAGUGGAUAUCAUGCGACAGAUCUUCAACUUCUUGCACGUAUACUGACUUGUAGCAAUAUUACUUCUUGGAGACAUCAAAGCUAGAGGAUGAGGUGAUAUCACAAAUGUAUAAUUGAAGAAGGUUUAAGAAGGUUCUUAUAUAUUUUAGAAGAUUUUAGAAGAUUUUGAUAGAUUCUAAGAAGGUUCUAAAAGACUUUAAUAGAUUUUAAGAAAAUUUUAGAGAGUCAUAGGAGAUCCUAGAAGUUUUUAAGAAGCUUUAGAUGAUUUAGGAAGUUACCAAAGAAGGAUUUUAGGCUUUCUUUGUUCCCCAGCCUCACGAAAUUUUUUCAAAAAGCUUCUUGGCACUUAGUAUAUAUAGAAGUCGAGAUUGAGGGGAUCUUCAAUGUCGACAACUGACUUCUUGUAGUCUAUCUAGGACCUUCUUGCUUUUUAUCUGGUUAUUACUUUAAUGUUGAGCUUAUUUUAUUUCUUGAUCUUGAGUCCUUGUCUUAUGUGUAGUUCCAAACAUAUAUACCAAGAUGUCAUUUAUGAAGACUGUUACUUAUUUGUUCAAAAUGUCUCAAAUUAAAUUGUUCAUUUGACUUAUAAAAGAAACUAGAGCAUUGGUAAGGCCAAAAGGUAAAAGAAGCCAUUCAAAAGGUCUAUAGUAUAUAAAAAUGUCUUCUUUUUUAUAUAUCUCUUUUGUGAUAGGUGUCUAUUGAUUGCCAUUGUAAUGAUCUAAUUUACUAAAGAUGGUCACAUCUUGAAGUUGAUCAAGAAGUUCAUCCACAUAUAGAAGUGGAUAUGCAUUUUUAAUAGUUUAUUUUUUAAGACUUUGAUAGUUGAUACAAAGUCAAAGUCCACCAUCCAUCUUGGGUGCAAAGAAUACAACUCCUCUCCAUAGUAAUAUACUUUCUUAAAUGAGGCUUUUCUCUAAAAAUUCAUUCAAUAUCUUAUGCAGUUCUUGAAAUUUCUUUAGUAUUAGGCAAUAAAUUGGUCAAUUUGCUAGUUUGGCUUCAGAUAAUAGUUCUAUUGGAAAAAAUGCAUCUUUAUUAGGAGAGACAUUGUAGUACUAUAAUUACUUAUAGUAUGUAAAAAUUAGUUAGAACAUAUAAUAUGUUCAUAAGUCUUAGUGUAUGUUAGAAUGGUUAGUAGAUUAAUUUAAAGAAAGUGGAUAUAAAAAACUUUAUUUUGAAUUUUAUCUAUUUUGAUUAUAGCAUUUAAAAAAAUUAUACGACCUAAAUAUUUAAUAUGAAGCUUUGAGAGGAGAUUAGAGCCUAAAGAUGAAAAUCUUAACUAGUAGGAUGCUUAUUGGGAAGGAUGAAAGCAAGGCAUGGUCAGAUGAAGGCAAGGAAUGGAGAUCUUCAUUCCUAUUGGUCGAAGGCCAUGUCCAAUGGGCUUUAAGGAGGCUGCCUGAGGCCUUAUUAGGGAUUAAGGUUUCUUUUUUGAAGUCAUUUGAGCUUUGUAGGCUAGAAUCAGCAAGUUUAAGUUUUUGAGUAUGGAUUGGAUGCAAAUUUUGUGUAAUUUGGAGUAUUAAUGAAAGAAUUAUUGGCGCUCAAAGUUAAGGUAUCAAUUUCAUACCUACUAUCACUCUUUGGAGUAUAACAUACAUUUGCAAAGAGCAACAAAAGAUUGGAGACUAGGAUUAGAGAGAACACCUCUUCAACUAUACUUUUUAUAGAUUUUUUUGAUGAAUUUAGAAUUUAGAUGAAGAAGUUAUAGAGAGUUGAAGUCAAUACAUCCAAAUCAAAGGCUGUAAGUAAGUGAUUUUGUUCACAAUAAUGGAUUCACCCAUAUUUUGAGUUUUUAGACGAAUUUUUGGCUCGAACUUUUUGAAGAAGAUAUAUUAUUUUAUUAAAAAUCUAUACAUACAAUUUUUGUGGUAUUUAAAUAUUUAAUUUGUGAGAUAUGAUGAAAAUUACAUAUGGAUGUAUAAAAAUUAGGAUUUCAAGCUAUUGUUAGGAUUUUGGUGAUAUCUUAAGUUUCGUAAUGAAUUUGUAGUUUAAAUUUAGGUUUGGAAGUUGGUAAGAUCACAUUAGUACUUCAUAUAAAAUUUGAAUAAGUUUGGACAGUUGGAUUAGGAGAUAAAAGGUAUUGAAGUUCGAAAAAAAUUCCAUGUAAGGGUAUAUAAGGUUUUAGACGGUUUUAUCAUAUUUUGAAUGUUAUUUGUUACUAUGGGCUUAUGUAUUUGAUGUAAUUGCUCCAAAAAGGAAAAUUUCAUAUAUCAACUUAGGACUUACUUUACUAUGAAGCUUGUUUGAGUAGUUAGUGAUAACCAAUAGCCUAGUACUUUCUUGAGGCAAAUUCUCUCUAUCUUAACAAUGCCACUAGAUAGGUCACUUAGAAAGAUAUUUCAAUAUUUGUAUAUGAGUUGUUCUUUCCAUUCCACUCCUUUAGCUAUCUUUUCUACUAUUGAUGUAAGAUUUGCUUAUACUCUAUUUGCUUCUUCAUAUAAGUUAUUUCUAAAAAAAAGUCUUUAGUCACAAAUUAUUUUCUUCUUUAUUUAAUGUGGAGGUACAAAGAUUCCCCUUGCGUCUACCAUCUUUGAAAGAAAUUAUUCUUAAUAUCCAAUUGACUUACUUAAGUUCCACCUCUAGGCAUGGCAUACCAAAGAUAACAUCGGAUCUUAGUUUUGUGAUCCUCAACCUCUUUCUCUUAAGACGUAGGUAUCAAAUAACCUUAAGAUUUCUUCUUCACAUAUCUUAUUCAAUACUUUCUCUCAGUCAUUUAUAAGGUAUAUACUUCCUCUAUUGAUUACCUUAGUUUCAAUCUCGAGUUGGUUGGUAAUUUAAGUCAAGAUGAAAUUUGAACUCAAUCCUCACAUCUUUCAAAUAACUUGCUGCAUAUAUAUUUCUUUCAAUAGUAUUUGCUUCAAAUAGUUGGAGAUAUUGUAGCAUGUUCAAGAGCUAUUGACAUACUUCUUCUUGCCUUGAAGUCCUAAAGUAUGUACUUGACUUAUUCAAUUCAGCCUAGUAUAUAUCAACUCUCUUGCCUUAGAGGCUUCUAUUUGCCUUUGCAAAGUAGCUAUCUGGCUUAAGAGAUGUUGUAUUUGAGCCUCCAUCUGGGAUUGCUCUACCAUAUCUCCCAUACUAAAAAUUUUCCACUAGAUUUCACUAUUAUAAUGCCUUCUCAUCUCUUGAUUGACUUUUUUAAAAUAUCUUAUGGUAGCCUCAACACAAUACCUAGUGUGAUGACAAUAACUGACUUUAGAUUAGAUAAUGACUAUUACCAUACUAUCAAAGAAUAAUCUAAUAAUUACUCUGAUAUCAAUGAAAUAAGACCUGUCUAUUUCAAGAGAUUAAGACCCUUCAAAUUCACAAUAAUAUAAAUCUCAUCUUAAGUAGGAUAAAAUGGAUUAGAAAAAAUUGAGCAAUCAAAAAUACAACAAAACAAAAUUGAAUAAUAAAAUGAUAAACCAAACUUUAUUGACUGAAUAGGUCUAAAGCCAUACCUAACUAGAUGUCCAAAAGGCCUUGGCCAAUCCUAUUUAUAUUUUAUCCAAUCAUCUUGAAAUUUUUUAGAUUAUUUUUAAUAAUAGAUUUUACUUAGAUAAUCAUCCUAAGCUCUUUCUAUAAGGUUCUAUAGUAGAUCUUAUCUAAAUAAUCAUCUUAAGUUCUUUUUAAAAUAUUCCAUUCUGGAUUCUAUAUUACAUACUAACAUAGUCCCAUUUCUAGAAACUUCUAUUAACUUCUGAAAUAUACUCCAACUAUCUAUCUCUAAGUAUGAAGAAUACAAAAAUCUUAUUAACUCUUUUUUAUAAGGAAUUCUUGACCUUGAACAAAUAUUACAUGAUUAGAUUAAGUCUUUCAUUGCCUUCCACAUUUGUAGCUACCAAAAAUCUUUAGAUAUAAGUUAUAAAGUCUUAUUAUAUCUCAAAUUGAUGGCCAUUAGAAAGUCAUGAUGUACUUAAAAAAUACCUACAUAUACUUCUCUUUUUGAAAUGUAUAAAGGUUAUCAAAAUAGAAUAGAUUAAUUUUGAAUUCAAACUUAGAAGCAUCAUGAGAUUUAGAAGAAGGAUUCUUGAUAUCAUAAAUAAGAAGAAAACAUGACAUACUUGAUUGAAAUUAUUUGAUGGUCGUUUGUUGUCUUUUCAAAAUGUUAUUUAUGAGGUUAUUCUUUUAGAUGUAAUAUUUAAAGAUCAUAAAAGCAUAGUAGUAUUUAAUGUAAUAAGAUCUCCUUUAAAUCUGAUUGUUUUAGGAUUAUUAUGGCUAAAAAAAUAUAACCUUCAAAUAGAUUAGAUUUCUUGUAACCUUCACUUUUUUGGUAGUAUAAUCUAAGAUCGAGUUAGCAGAGUAGAAGUAUAAAAGUUUAGUACUUCCAAAUCUAACUUCAUAGGAGCGAGAGCUUUCAUGCAUGCUGCAAAAGAAGGAUCAUCUUUUGUUAUAUAUGCUAUGCCCAUUUCUAAUGGUGAAAAAAAGUCAAGUGGUAUUCCUAGCCAAUAUGAAGAAUUCCAAGAUAUUUUUUAAAAGAAGAAUGUAGAUAUUCUUCUAGAUUAUUGACCUUAUGAUUGUUCAAUUGAUUUGUAAGAAGGAACUUAACUACCAUUUGGAUCAAUCUAUAGCUUAUUGUAGAAUGAAUUAGAUGCAUUAAAGGAGUAUAUUGAUGAAAAUUUGGCAGAGAACUUCAUACGCCAUUCUAAAUUCCCAGCCAAAGUUCCUAUCUUAUUUGUGAAGAAGAAAGAUGGAUCUAUGUGGAUGUAUGUGGAUUAUCAAGGACUCAAUAAGAUCACGAUCAAGAAUAGAUAUUAUUUGUCUUUGAUUUCAGGACUUCUUGAUCAACUCAAUCAAGCAAAGAUCUAUACCAAAAUAGAUCUACGAGGAGCAUACAACUUAAUUCAUAUCAAAGAAGGAGAUGAAUAGAAGAUUGCUUUUUGAGCUAAUUAUGGAUAUUUUGAAUAUAAUAUCAUGCCUUUUAGACUCACGAAUGCACCGAUUGAUUUUCAACAUCUUAUAAAUGAUGGUUUUUAUGAGUUUUUAGAUGAUUUUGUCAUUUGCUAUUUAGACGGCAUUCUAAUCUACUUUAAGAACACAGAAGAACAUAAACUUCAUAGAUAAUAAUCAAAAGUUCGAGGUAGAAGAAGUCUUAGACUCAAGGCGGCAUCAAAAUAGGUUAGAAUAUCUUCUUCAUUGGCACAAAUAUGAUAUUAGUGAACACACAUGGAAGCCAUCAAAAUAUCUUACAAAUGUAAUAAAGAAAGUUGAAGCUUUUCAUCAAUGAAAUCCAUCAAAAUCAAGAUGAAGAAUAGCAAAUCUCACCUAUAAAAGAAACAAGAUUAAAGAAAGAUUAUAUUCUAUCUUCUAUCUUUCUUUAUAGCUUAUGUACAUUUAAGAUGCUAAGGAGAUGGAGAACCAACAACCAGCAGAUUUAAAUCAAGAGCUUUCAUUUGUAGCUUUACAAUUUUAAAAGUUGGCAGUUUGGGAUUGAGUAGGAUUUUUGUGAUAUCUAGAGAUCUAUCAAUUGGAUCAAGGUAAAUUUGGGCUUGAUCUUGAAGGACUUAAAGAUCAAGUUGCAUACCAAUUUUGAGUUAAAGUUAAUAGUUAAAGAAGGAGAAAUCACUACCAGGAUUUUUGCUUUAUUUUUUAAGUUAACAUCCAAGUGACAUCAAUAUAGUUUUUGGAGGUUUUCUCAUACUCUAUAAGUUGAAUUGGGCUAAAAAUUCUUUAGCGUAUAGAAGACUUAUAUUGAUAAUUGGAUACAAAAUUUUAUAUGAAGUGGAUAGUUAGAUUAGAAGUUACAGCUUAUUAAAGCUCAUUGAUUAAGAUUGGAGCUUAUAAGAAAAAUCUAAAUUCCUUAAAUAUGAAAGUAACAAGGUAAUUGGGAUUUAUAUAUGAUUAUGGAUACUAAAAAGAGUGUGUUUUAGCACUUUUGAAUUGAAAUUUGGAUUAUAUUCUUCUCAUAUGGAUGAAAUCUAUUAGGGUUUCUUAGAUACUUAUGAAACACAACCUCGCCUUCUAAAGCUAGGUGUCUAGUGCAUUCCUAAAUAAGACAACAUGUAAUACGACAAUGUAUCUAUUUUAGAUCUAUAUAAAGUAAUGAAUAUCUUGAGAAGAAGAUAAAUAAUAUUACUUUUUAUAGAAGUAGAUAAUAAUUAAUAAUUUAAGGUGGAAAAAGUCUAAGACUCAAGUCGGCGCCAAUAUAGGUUGAAUUAUCUUAUUCAUUGGUGUAGAUAUGAAAUUAGCAAAUACAUAUGGAAACUACCAAAAAAUCUUAUAAAUGUAAUAGAGAAGGUUAAAACUUUUUAUCAACAAUAUCUAUCAAAACCAAGAUGAAGGAUAUCAAAUCUUUGCUAUAAAAAAAAAAAAAAAAAAAAAAAACCUUAUUUUAUAAAGAUUAUGUUCUACCUUCUAUCCUUAUUUUUAGUUUAUAUAUAAUUGGGGUAUUAAAGAGAUUAAGAAUUAACAACCAACAGAUUUAAAUUAAGAGCAAUCAUUUGCUGUCUUAUCAAAUAAGAUAUUACAAUUAUUAUAAUCUUUAAGAUGACAUAAUAGAGUUGAAGAUCUUUAAAAAUUACAUAUUCUUCAUCAAAUAGAUGAUAAGAUAUAAUAGAUUUGAUAUUACAACCUAAGAAGAGACUUUUGAUCUUUGAUAAUUUUAUUCGAGAUAUACAUGACUUCUGAUGGUAUUUCAAAUUUUUUAUUUGAAAGAAGUUCAAAGGUUUUAACAAUGAUCAAAUAACAUUGUAGUCUUCUUAUCUUAAAAUAGGAUAUUACUGAUAGCUGAGAAGACUUAUCAACUACCUUCAAAGAAAAUAAAGAUCAGAGUAAAUGGCAAAUGUAAUUUGCUACAUUUUAGACUUCUUCAGUAUAUGAUUACUGCUUGUCAUGGAACUUGUUUCUAAAAAGAAGAGUAAUGUCAUGGAUAUAUAUCUAUUGUAAUUAUUAUCUAUAUAAUAUGGAUAGGUAGAACUAGAUUAAAAUAGAUUAAUUUUAUAAUAUCUUCUAGAAAAGCUUUUUAGAUGUUGUUUUGACUUUUUAUGUGUUUGUAAUUGAUUGAUAGGUUAAAAACUUAGUAAAUAAAUUAAUCACGUGCCACAUAUAUUGGUAGCUUACAAAACUAGCUAAUUAUGUAGUAUCCAUAUGAAAAAUUUGCCUUGCAAGAUAAGAUAUGUGUCAUGCAAAUUCAAUACCUUUUUGGAGGUCCUAUAGAACGUCAUGACAUAAUUCUUAUGUAGAUAGUAUAUAUAAAGACAAAAAUAAAGCCUUCUUUACUCUUAUCAACUUCUUUCUUGCUUCAAGUCUAGUUUCAAAAAUCUCUAAUUUUUUUAACCUUUGACAAUAGUUAUUAUAGUUUUUUUUUUUUAAUACAUAUAUUUUUUAAUUUUUAUUUUGUCAUAUUUCUUUGAGAGAGAUUCACUUAUUUAUUUUCUUUCAUCAAAUUCUUGUCUUUAACAACUAUCCACUUAAGAGUUACAUGGCAAUAUUCUAUAGGACUUCCAACAUGUGUUGACUUUACAAAUCACAUGUUUUAACUUGCUAGACAAGUUUUAUGUGUAUAUUUUAUAUAACUAGCUUGUUCCACAAGCUAUCUACUUGUGAGACAUAUGAUUAACUUGUUAAUUAGAUUUUUAACUUAAAAGUCAAUUAUAAACAUGUUGUCAUAUUAUAAUUCGGCUACCAUGUGAAACAAAUGUGUUUAUAUAUUUAAUGUAGAAUUUACUUAGUAAUAUGGUGAGAGCAAUGUUAUUGGAUUAUAGUUGAUUGUAGAAUGUGGUUAAACUACUUCUUUAAAAGGACGUUGUUUAAAUGGAUUACUAUUAAAAUUUGUAAAACUUAAUUUUUUUUUAUAAUGGUUUUCGAAGUUGAUUUGUUGGUAGUAAAUUUAUACAUUUAGAGUCACCUUUGUAAGACAUUGGUUAUCCUUAAAGUUUUAUUUUGGUUCUUUUAUUUGAUAUUCAAGACAUGUAAUAUAUAAAUCUUAUAUAAAAAAGGAUUAAAGAAGGAUUUUAGUAAAAAUAAAGGUAGUUAAGACAUCGAUAUGAAUGAUUGGAGAUAGAUGAUAUAAAUCUUCAUUCUUAUUAGUCAAAUAUCAUGACCAAUGGACUUCAAGGAGGUUGCCCGAGGCCAUAUUAGGAAUUACAAUUAAUCUUUUGGGAGGAUUUUGAUCAUCAAAGCCUAAAGUUAGCAAGUUCAGGUUUUUGGCUAUGGUUUUGGUGUAAAUUUUGAGUCAUUUGGAGUUUUUAUGAAGGAAAUGUAGGCUCUCAAAGACAAGGUAUUAGUUUUGUAUCUACUGUUACUCUUUUGGAUAUAAUGCAUGCGUAUAGAAAGCAAAAAAAAUUGGUGACCAAGGUUGGAAAAAGUACUUUUUUAACUACAAUUUAUUUAUAUUGCUUGAUGAAUUCUAAACUAAGAUGAAAGAGAUAUUAUAAGUUGAAGCCAACACUUAGAAUCUAAGAAGUAGUAAGUGAUUCAAAUUACUAGUAGUUGUGUUUUGAGCUAUAUCUUAUGCAAUUUGAUAAGAUUUUAAUCAAAACUUUUUAAGAAUAAGUUUUUUUCAUGUUAUUAAAUUUUAUACAUAAGUUUUGUGAUAUUUGGAUUUUGUAUUUGUGAAAUAUGAAGAAAAUAGUACUUAGGUGCUUGUAAAUUAGGAUUUGAAGCACCUGCUAGGAUUUUUAAGAUGACAGACGAUUUGUAGCAAAUUUAUAGUUGAAUUUUUUUGGAAUAAUAUUUAAGGAUAAAUUCUAUAUCAUUUAUAAAUUUGACAAAAAUUGAAUAAUUUGAUGAAGAGAUAUAAACUUUUGAAGUUCAAAAAAAAAUAUUUUAUUUGAAGGAAGUAAUAUAGGCCUUAUCAAGGAGCAAAUAACAAGGUAGUCUUUUCACCUUGGGUUGAGUCACUAUCAAUGGCUGAAAGGAUCUAUCAACUAUCUUCAAAGAGAGCAAAGAUUAAAGUAUGUAACAAAUACAAUUCGCCACAUCUUAGACUUCUUCAAUAUAUGAAAACUGCUUUUCAUGGAACUAUGCUUUAGAAGGAGGGAUAAUAUCAUAGACAUAUAUAUUAUUUCAAUAAUUAUUUAUAUGACUAGAUAGAAGUAGAUAAUUAUAGAUUAAUUUCAUAAAGUCUUUUAGUGAAGCUUCCUGAAAGCUUCAUAGACGUGGUUUUGAUUUUAGAUGUAUUUGUAGGUCAAAAACUUUGCCAACAAAUUAACCACCUGUUGUGAGCUUGUGGAACAAGUUAACUCUGUAUAAUAGCUUGUGGAACAAGUAAACUAUAUCGUGCAUAUAUAGAUUACUUGCCUUGUAAGUAAAAACAUGUAACUAAUAAAGUCAACAUGUUUUAAAGGUCUUAUAUAACAUUGUCAUAUAACUCCUACUUAAGAAUAUAUAUAGAAGCAAGAUUGAAGCAUUCUUCAUUCUAAUCAAUGCGUUCUAGUCCUUAGUCUUGUUUCAAGACUUUUCAAUCUUUUUGUUUUUGGCAAUAGCCAUUCUAGUUAAUAUUAUAUUAUCUUUAGAAUGACUUUCUAGUUAUCUUUAGUAAAAAAAGACUGUAUCGAGGAUUCUCUUUCUUUGAAAUUCAUAUCCUUGACAUUCUUCAAGAAGGUUGUUUGCAAGAUGCUUGAUAUUAAAAAUAAGAGGGUUCAUAAUUGAGGCUUUACGAAUCUGAUCAAGAAAUGAUAUAUCUAUAAAUAUUGAUACAUUGGUUGCUCAAAGAUGAAAUUGCUCAAGCUUUAAUAAGGUUGCUUAUUAUUAAUCAUAUGUUAUCUCACUUUUUUUUGGUUCAAGGUAGGAACAUCUUGAUAAUACAUCUGAUAACCUUUGUUUGUUCUUGAAUUGAUACAUGAUGCAAAAGUGAAAUCAUGAUAAAGAUAUCUUCUAAUGCGCUUGGCAAUAGUUCAAGAUUUGGGUUGACUUGAAAUACUCAAGAUUCUUGUGAUCUUUAUAUACUGUCACUUGGUGAGAGGCACCUUAAAGAAAGUGGCGCCAUUCUUAGAAAGAAUCUAUGAUGGCAAGCAACCUCUACUAUGAAUUUUGUAGUUAGUUUCUAUUCCUAAGAAUUUUCUAGAAUAAAAUGCAAUUGGGUGAAGUUUGCCAUCUUUUCUAUAUUACAAUAAAACUGCUCCCAAUACAAAGUCUGAGGCAUUGGUCUCCAUAAAAUAGGACUUAUUGAAAUUUAGAUGUAUCAAAAUUGGAGUUAUUAUGUAAGCAUCUUUUAAGCUUUGAAAAUCUUUCUUUGCUUCGGGACCCGAGUCCAACUUAUCUUUGCAUGUCAAUUGCAUGAGUGAAGUAGCAAUCUUGAAAUAAUUCUUAAUAAAAUCCUUGUAGAAGCUUAUAAAUUCAAGAAAGCAUUAAAAAUUAUGUACCAUUUUUGGUUUUUUCCAAUCAAUGAUUGCUUAUACUUUCUUUGGAUCCAUAAAAAGGCCUUUAUUAGAAAUAAUAUAUUCAAUGAAUUUGACUUGAGAUGCAUGAAAUAUAUAUUUCUCUAGUUUUGUACAUAAUAUAGCACUUUGUAGCUUUUUCAAUACAAAGCGGACAUGUUUUUUAUGGUGUUCUAGAUUCUUGGAAAAGAUUAGAUAUCAUCUAAGUAGAUCACAACAAAUUUGUCGAGAUGCUCGCAAAAUAUGUCAUUUAUUAAGUGUUGGAAUAUGGCUGAUAUAUUAAUAAGUCCAAAAAGCAUGACAUUGUAUUCUAAAUGUCCAUACCUAGUACAAAAUGAUGUCUUCUAUUCAUCUCCUUCCUUACUGCAUAUGAAAUUAUACAUUGUCAGAAUAGAGAGAAUUUGCCUCAAAAAAAUACUAGGCUCUUGGUUGUCACUAAUUGCUCAAUCAAGUCUCAAGAUAAGAAAGACCAAGAAUAUAUAUAUAUAUAUAUAUAUAUAUAUAUAUAUAUCACUUUUAAGAGCUAUUAUACCAAACAUAUAAGUCUUAAGUUUCCAAAAACAUCCAAAAGAUGAUAAAAAAAACUCUAAAUCCUAAUAUAUCCUUAUGGAGUACUAUUUCCAAACUUCAACAACUCAUUUUCUUAAUUGGACCAUUCAAACACCUUUAAAUUUUAUAUGAAGUAAUGAUGUAAUUUUAACAAAUAAUACAACAAAUUUCAAUUGCAAAUUCAUUGCAAAACUUAAGAUAUUACCAAAAUCCUAAUAAUAGCUUCAAAUCCUAGUUUUUAUAGCUCUAUAUAUAAUUUUCUUCAUAUCUCACAAACUAAGUAUUUAAAUGCUACAAAAGUUUUAUGUAUAUUUUUUUAAUACAUUAAUCCAUAUUUUUUAAAAGAUUUGAGUCAAAAAUUUGUCUAAGAACUCAAGAUAUGGCUCCAACCAUUACUAUGAAUUAAAUCACUUACUUACUGCUUUUGAUUUGGAUGCGCUAACUUCAACUCUUUAUAAUUUCUUUAUUUGAAUUAUAAAUAUAAAAAUUCAUUCAUAUAAGAUUUAAAUCAUAAAACCAAUUUUCUAAUUACACCAUUUGAUCUCAAAAAAUUGCCAUAAAACUCUACACAUGCUCAAAAGAGUAAUAGUAUAUCUUAAAAUGAUAUCUUAACUUCAAAUGGCUAUAAUUUCUUCACCCUAACUCCAAAUUCACUAAUUUUUGCAUCCAAAUUAUAGCUCAAACUCUAAACCUUAAUAAACUAGCAUUUGAUUUUCAAAUUUUCCUCUGAAGUUUCCAAAAACUCUUCUUAUGGUUGCAAACUGCCUCCUAAAAGCCUAUUGGGUAUGGCUUUUGAUCCAUAGGGAUGUAGAUUUCCAUUCCUUGCCUUCAUUCGACCAUGCCUUGCUUUUAGCCUUCCUAAUAAGCCUCCUAUUAGUUUAGAUUUUCAUCUUUAGGUUCUAAUCUCUUCUUAAGGCUUCAUACUAAAUAUUUAGGUCCUAUAAUUUUUUAAAUGCCAUAACCAAAAUAGAUAAAAUUUAAAAUUAAGUUUCUUAUAUCCACUCUCUUUAAAUUAAUCUAUUAACCAUUUUAACACACACCAAGAUUUAUGAACAUAUUAUAUGUUCUAAUUAAUUUUUAUAUACUAAAAGUAAUUGUAGUAUGACUACACCCCUCAUAGAUUAAUCUUUGUAAAGAUCUUUAUUUAGCUAAAUUGAUCAAGAAGUCUAGAUAUCAACGAAAAUGGAUAUCAAUUUUUUUAUUAUGAUUUUAUUAAGACUGCAAUAAUCAACACACAUCCAUAAAGAUCCAUCUUCAUUUUCACAAAUGAUAUCAAAGUACCAAUUGGUAAUUUAGAAUGUUGAAUAAAAUUCUUAGCCAGAUUUUCAUCAAUGUAUUCCUUUAAAGUCGCAAGCUCAUUCUAGAAUAAAUUGUAGAUGAGUUCAAAUAAUGGUUGAACACCUUCUUGAAGGUCAAUCAUACAAUUAUAAGGGUGAUGCUUCGAUAGGAUGUCCACAUUUUUCUUUUUAAAUAUAUAUAUCUGCAAAAUCCUUUUACGCCUCUGAAAUUAUUGUUGUAGCAACCAUAGGUUUUGAUUAUAGAUUUGCAUAGACAACAAAUGUAGUGCCGUGUUUGGCCACCGUUAUAAAUGAUCUAGCUCCAAUAAAUAAAUAUUAUUUAAGUUUUGGCUUAACGGGUGUUGGAAGCUUUUUCAUAGAUCUAGGAGUUUUAUGAUCUACUAGAAAAAAUUCUAACUUUUGAGAUAUUCAAUCUAUAUGUGGAUUGUAUUUUUCAAGCUAUGAGAGACCUAAAAUGACUAAACUUGAUGAUAAUCUAAUGGUGUUGAAUACUACUUGGUUGCUAUAGUUGUCAAAGGUUAUUUCUAAUAGAAUUGUCUCAUGAGUGACGUCUCCAAAGGAUAAAGGUCGACCAUCUAUUACUUCUACAUGUAUGGCUUUGGAUUUUUGAUAUACAAAUUUUGUGUGAUCUAGAAAAUUCUUUGUCAAUAAAAUAUGUAGAGGCUUCCAAGACACGUAGUGAAUGACACUCUAGUUUUGUGACUCCUAACUGUACAUGUAUAAUAAAUCAAUGGAAAAGACUAGCAAAAAAUAUAAGAUCUUUUUUGAUUUGUGAUAGUAAAGAAUCCAACUGCAUGGUUUCUACUAUGGCUGAACACCUUCAUUUUCCUGAAGAGCUUUUGAUAACAUGGCUGUACUUCUCAUUUGAUAUGUUUGCUAAUAUUUCUGUGAACAAUUAUUAAUCUUGUGGUUAAGUUUUCUACAAUAUAAACAUAGGCCAAGUUCUAUUUGAUAUAUAUUUUUUUUUGUUUAAAAAGAGGUUUGAAGUAAACUACAUCAAAUUAUAUAUCUUUUACUUCCAACUGCUCAUUAUAAUUAGACAGUGAAGAAGCUACAUAAUAAUUGGUGUAUACAUGUGGUAUAACUGAAGAACAUUUAUCUUGUUGUCGUUGAAGUAAAUAAUUAUCGCACUUCACACCUUGACUAAUGGCUUCAUUGAGUGUUUGAAGAUCUAGCAUAGACAACAAUAAGUCCUUGAUAUCAUUUCUUAAUCUCCAAUGAAAUUGGCUUAUCAACACAUCUUCUCUCCAAUUUAUAUUACAUGCUAAUUGUCAAAAUUUUGAGGCAUAUGUUAAUGCAGAAUACAUUUUUUUGCCAAAGGCUUUGAAUUUUAGUUAUUGGAGAAUGAACCUUAUCAAGUUUACUAAAUGCUUCUGUAAAUGCUAUAAAAAAAUACUUCAAAAUUGUGUAAUAUAAGAGAAUUAUUUUCAAAUAAUGGAGUAAACUUAGAUAAAGCUUGACAUGAUAAUAAGAUUCUAAUUGAACCAAUACGAGAUGCUUUAAUAGAAUAUUGUUGAGGUUGAAGUAAGGUAAUUAGUUGUACUUAGUUUACAAAGCUACAAAAUUAUGAUUGGAUGCCAUUGAACUUUUUUAGAAGGUUGAUCCUUGGUUCUUUUUUUUGUUAUUGUUGUCAGAUCAUUGCUUUGAGCAAAUGCACCUUCUAUGUUUCAUAAAGCAGAUAUAGUCAAUUAAGAAUUUAGAAUCUUUAUGACUAUUUGAUGUGGUGGUUGAGGCACUCCACCUCUUUGACCAUUAUAUAUGGUCAUAUAUAAUUCUUCAUUCUGCUUCAAUAAAAUCUCUCUCUUGAUCUUCAAUGCUUCAAGAGGAUUAAUAAUAGAAUCUAACUUGAUCUCUUAGGAGUUUGUCAUAUUGAUUUUUUCACCUUUUGCCAUAAAAAAUCAGAAAAAUACACAUUUUAAAGAAGAAAAAAAUAACCAAAAAACCAAAAAUAAUAAAAAAAAAACUAAAAAAAUAUUAAAAAAAUAAUAAUAUUAAUCUAGAAAAGGAUAAUUUUUAACUUCUAGAAUGUUAUAGUACUUCUAAGAAGCAAAGUAAUCCACUCUCUAUCAAGAAAGAUUAAGCUUCUAAUAUUAUUUUAUUGUAGUCUCGAUAAAUUAUUAAGGACCACAUAUAAGAUAAGGAUUUAAGACAAAGAAAUGGAAUUAGCUUGAUAUUAAAACAAUAACUUGAUACAAGGCAAGGAGGUCUUGGCUAGACUACAAGAAUUGAGUUGUCAAGACUAAGGAUCCUCUUAGUCUUAACUCCUAUAUAUACUAGGUCCUAGAAAGCUUCUUGAGAAGUUUUCAUGAGGCUUGGAAGCAAAGCAAGCUUAAGAUCUUUCUUCAAAAACUUCCUGAAUCAUCUAAAGCCUCUUAGAACCUUUCAAGAUCUCCUAUCAUCUUCUAAAACUUUCUUAGAAUCUAUUAGAACUUUUUGGAACCUUUUUAGUACCUACUCGAAUCUUUUAGGAUCUAUAAGAAUCUUCUAAAAAUUCUUAGAACCUUCUCAAUCCUUCUUCAUUUGUAUGUUUGUAAUAUCUAUUGUAUUAUAUUUUAAUCAAUGAUUCACAAUACUUAAGAAAAAUAGGACAUUGUGAUUUAUUCAAGAUAUACAAGCAAUAAAUAAGAUAACUUUUAAAAUUAUGGAUUCAAAUCCAAAUGUGGAUUAGUUUGCAAAGGCAUUUGUAAAGAAAGCAAUUUAUUCUAUGGAAGAUUUUUAUUCAGGAUAUGAUCAAUUUCAAUUGGCAAUAUGAAGUAGAGAUUUGACAAUUAAAAAAAUACCACUAGGAUUAGUCAAAAUGUAUAUAUUACCAAAAGGGGCUACAAAUUUUGUGGCAUGUAUGAUGAAUGGGAUGCGUAAGGUAUUAAGGGUUUUUAUUUAAAGAAUUAUAAUGUUUUUUUCUACAUAAUGUGCUAAUUAAAAAUUGUGAAGAAGAAAGAAAAGAUAAAGUAUUGGAUUCAAAAGAAUGCAAGAAGUUGGUAGCGGAUCAUAUUAAUGAUUGUGAAAAGAUUUUGAUAAGAUUAGAAGAAGUUUAUUUAACAUUAUUGAACAUAAAAUAAUAUUUGGAAUAAAAAAAAUAUUGAUAGAAUGGUAUAUACAAAGAUGUAGCAAAUUUUGUAGGAUGUUGUGAAACUUGCUAAGUAAAUUCAAAUAUUUGUCAUUGAGAUGGAUUAUAUCUAAUAUAUCUUUUAGAUUUAUAUUACAAGAUGGUGAUAGAUUUAGUGGCAAUCCCUAUGAGACUUAAACAAAUGAAGUAUUUGAUACUUGAAUGAGAAGAUUUAUCAAAUAUGGUUGGAUGACAAGCAUUAAAAACAAAGGAUGCUAGAGAUGUAUGCUGAUUUUUAUUAGAAGAUCUUAAUUUUUGUUAUGGUUGUAUUAAAAAAAAUAUAUCUAAUAGAGAUAAAGAGAAGUACAAGAUUUUUUUGAUAGAAUAGGAAUUAAGCUUUCUUUAACAAUAGCAUAUAAUCUAGAAGGUAAUGGAUAAGAGAGAGCGUUGAUAUUCACAUAUUAUUAAGGCAUUAGUAAAGGCAUGCAGUGACAAAGCAUAUGAAUAUUCUAGACUAGUACCAUUUACAUUAUAGGCUAAUUGAAUAAUCCAUAGUUUAGUAAUACAUUAUAUGCUUUUUGAAUUAAUAUAUGAAAAAAAAUCAAUAAUGCCAAUAGAAGAAAUAGUGCCUAUAUAGGAUGUAUUAUCUUGGAAGAAUUAUUUCAAUAAAAAAGAAAUUUUAGCAUUAUGGAUUUAACAAUUAGAAAGAAGAUCUAAUGAUAUUUAAUAAAUAAUAGAAAAUUUGAAAGAAGCAAGAAAAAAAAUAAAAAAAAGGUUUGUUAAAAAACAUUGACUACGACCUAACAUAAUUGAAGAUGGCAAUUGGAUGUUAGUUUAUGAUAAUAACUUAGAUAAUAAAUAUACUACAAUAAGGAAGUUUGCAAAGAUAUGGUUUGGACCUUAUGUUGUCAAACAAGUAUAUGAAAAUGAAACAUACUUGUUAUAAAAACUUGAUAGUACAAAAUUAAAGAUACUUAUAAGAAGCAAAAAAAUUAAGUUAUUUAAACAAAGAAGUGAAGACAUUUAUUUUAAUGAAGAAUGAAAUCAUUACAAGACAUUGAGAUGGAAAUAGAAGAGAAAAUUGAAGAUAAAAAAUUUAACCAAGAAGAAGAAAACUCUGUAUCAAUGUAAUAAAGUAAAUUUGGCACAAACUUGUAGAUGUAC
RNAcentral lists this long non-coding RNA (52581 nucleotides) under Physcomitrium patens. RNAcentral's name for it is "long non-coding RNA (PPAT_LNC010871)". The record is from RNAcentral. Lineage: Eukaryota; Viridiplantae; Streptophyta; Bryopsida; Funariales; Funariaceae.